AGAUGUCCAAAGAUUGGAUGGUGGUGUGCGUGAAGUUCGUGUAGCACCUGUUAUACGCUCGACAAAUUGUUUGAAUCGGAAAAUCAUUACCGAUCUCGCAGAUUCGAGUCAGCUAUUGGAAUGGUAAGCUGAUUUGCUAUUCUUAUUGACUGUUAUGAUGAAUGGAUUGGUUGAAUUAGUUGAUCGUGAAGAUUGUUUUAUUCUUAGCACAAGUGCGUUGUUGAGGUAUUAGAUGUAUGUCAUGAUGCCUCGCUUCAUGCAUCAAUGGAGUGUGUACAUAAGUAUGAAGUGGUCGUGUCACGCGAAACUCAAGUUUAAAAUAAUUAUUGUGUGAGGAGUGGUUAAGUGAAUAAUAAGUCUAGUGUCUCGCUCAUAUAGCUGAUAAAUGCGGUCGUGGUUGAUUAUGUACUUGUAUUAUUUGAGAACGUCGAUGCUUUGCUCAAGUAAUUAUUAUAUUAUAGAUUUAGUGAUCAGUUGCAUGUCAUGGAAAAUGUUGCAUACUACCCUAAGCAGUUAAAACUAAAUAGCAAUCGACAAGUCUAUUCCAGUUAGAAUCUAGAAAUUUCAUGACUCAAAAAGAAACGCACAUCAAUACGUUAAGUAUUUGGUUGAUAAAAAUACUUUUACGAGGUUUUAUGUUGUUUGAUAAUAGUCACCCCACUAGAUUAAAUUUAUUUGAUGCGUGCGCUAUGAGUGUCUUCAUGAUUAAAGCAUGUGCCCUGCAUUGGUGUAGUGAGGUUUUGUCGGGGACCAUAAUUAGGGGUACCCUCAAGACUCCUAAUUCUCAGCUGGUAACCCCCAUCAGCAUAAAGCUGCAAAGGCCUGAUGGGUGCGAUUAAGUCAGGGAUCAGUCCAUUCGAGCGACUCGAUCACGCCUCGCCCGAGCCUAGCCUCGGACAAGGGCAGCCGACCUCGGAGGAUUUCCGUCUCGCCCGAGGCCCCCCUCCGACGGCGGACACAUCUCCGGCUCGCCCGAGGCCCUGCCUUCGCUAAGAAGCAACCCUGACUAAAUCGCCGCACCAACCGACCGAAUCGCAAGAGCAUUUAACGCAAAGGUGGCCUGACACCUUUAUCCUGACGCACGCCCCCCCCCCCCGGCAGAGCCGAAGUGACCGCUGUGGGGGAUAGAUAUCCCCCGGGUCCACUAAAGAAAUAAAAUACCUCACGAAAGGCCCAAAGGCCCAAUAAAUCGUAAGGUCGUUCUUUCGUGGGCCUGGGGAAAGACAAUCAACGAAGCGGAGAAGACGUAAGACUAGAUUGGAGCAAACCCAGACGGCCCACAACGUCGAGCGAGUAAAUCGCAACAGAGACCCGACUUUCCCGCGCUGAAGCCCCCAUGCAACAGAGCCAUGCGAGGAUAAGUCGGCAAGGGUUACGUAGGGAUAAACUCGAGAGGUUUACUAUCUUUCAGCUACUUGUAGCUAUCAUAUCCACAUGUACUGCCCCACGGUCGAGUAUAUAAGGCCUAGGGGGCACCCCUUCAGAACGACCGACCCUGUUUGACAUAGCCACCCACGUAAAACUCUCUGCGCCCUCUAUCAGAGAACCCUCUUGUAACCACGCUCAUAUACUCACCAGGACGUAGGGUGUUACGCACUUCUAAGCGGCCCGAACCUGCAAAUCUUGUCCAUUGUCCCUCGUGCGAUCGGCACGAACCAUUUUGCUACAGUCGUUGACACCGUCCUACUCCUAAAAACACCUUGAGGGGCAACCCCGGGUGUGCGGUCGGACCCAAAACACCGACAGCUGGCGCGCCAGGUAGGGGUUGUGUCGACGAUCCAAGCUAGCUCAAUGGCCGUCACCUUCCACAACAAGAUCGCCGUGCGUCCCGGAUCUGUAUUCUGCUUCGGGACAAUCUCGUCCGUAGCGGAUGAAGAAGGGAUUCUACACCGCCUCGCAGAUCUACCGGAACAGAAGUCUCCUCCAACAAACUCCGAAAAUGCUGGAAAGACGCUACCUCCGGCUCUUCGGAAAAAGAUCGUCUCCGGGGAGGCUGGAGCUGGAAGCUCGCUGACCCGGAAGACUCCGCUGUCCACUUCCCCGACGAAAGAAUGGACACGGGUCGUGAGAAAGAAGGAGACCAGGGAGAGGCAAGUCGUUCUUCCCGUUCCUCCGGCCUCAAAGGAGAACGGAAAGAAAAUCGCCGCGACAGCAGUACCGUUCUACCCCGACGUCCUCUUCAUCGGGAGAGCAGAGUCGCCCGCCGUCUCUGACGAUGAACCGACCACGCCUGGAGAAGAACCACCUCAGCGAGAAUCCCGCCGACGAAGAAACCGACGCAGGAACGUUCGGCGACAUCACGCAGCUGGAGAACGGGAUCCGGAGCAGCCUGUCUCGCGAGACGAGGUCUCAGAGAUAGGAGAAACUCCGGAAGAACGCGUCUUCAGGGAACGAAGGAACUCCCGAUGACGUGAUCGCCGGCGGACUCAGGAGCAAGCCGAGCAAGAUGCAAGGCAACGACGCGAGAAUCCGCUCUUCGGGCGCAACCUGAACCCCGACUUUGCCCGAGCUAUGAACACGCCGAGCGAAGUCGGAGGCGUUCUAGCUCGGAUAGCUGACGGUCUUCCUCGGACUCCCGACGCCGAAGGAUACCGACGCCUGUUCACUCAGGCGGCCAACCAUCUUCUACCGCUCGCUCACCCGCCGAACGAUUUGCGACACGCCAUCAACAGUCGCCGAGACGCGCGAAGCUCUAUCAAUGCUUCGCGCGAGCGGCGGCAUGAGAACGAAAUUCGCCGUCGGGAGGAGUAUGACCGAGAUCAUGGCUUCCCGACUCAAAGCCAGGCCACCCGAACUGAGUCGGCAACAGCUUCAACUGGUGGUACCGCCCGGGGACGGUCGAGGAACCACCACCGCCACCCCCCUCCCCGGGACAGACGUCAUCCCCGACGACAGGAGGACACAUGCGGAGUAUCCGCCCUUACUCCGCGCCUUAGGGCCAUCCAAUGGCCUCCCAACUUCAAGGUAUCCAAUGUCGACAAAUAUGAACCUAAGCAGGAUCCAGGGGGUUGGUUAGCCGUCUACACCACCGCUACUCGGGCUGCCGGAGCAUCCGAAGACGUCAUGACCGCGUAUCUGCCCAUCGUCCUUGGGAAAGAUGCGCUGCAGUGGCUACGACAUCUACCCCGACACUGCAUCGACGACUGGGGAGACUUCAGUCGACGUUUCACCGCCAACUUCCAGUCUCUCUCUGACAAGCCAGCGCAACCAUGGGACCUCAAAUCCAUCAAGCGCCGGGGGGAUGAGACUCUCCGGUCAUACCUUAAAAGGUUCCAGACCAUGAGAAACCGCAUCCCCGAGGUCACGGAGGCGGCCGUGAUCGAGGACUUCUAUAGAGGAUCUAACGACUCGGCUUUCGUCCGAGCCAUACUACAAAAGGCGCCGACUACCUCCGAGGAGCUGUUCCGGGAAGCCGACCUCUACAUCACCGCCGACGAGCGGGCCCAGGAUCUCAUCGGAGGAGCAAAGCCUGCACCGGCAGCACCACGACGUGACGCGAACCAGCCAUCUGUCACACCCGUUUCCAAGGGCAGAGCCGGGUGCAUAGCAUAUGUGUGCCAGGAUCUAUUUCCACACAUAUGUUGACGUCACAAGUGUAAUAUAUCAAAAGAACAAUGCAUAAAAGCGUAAAUAACGAUUAUAUUAACAUAUUACACUUUGAACAGACAUAAUGUCUUAACCUUUAUUCAUCAAAGUACAGCGAAACAAGGACAUCCAUCCACAGGAAGAUGACCGGGGGUAUCACUAGACUAGCAUCCACGGAGUUCAGCAUCAUAUCUUCAUCUGCAACUUCUGAUCAAAAUUAAGCAAGGGUGAGCUCACUUAUGGUCGGGGCUCAGCAAGUGGGGGAAAAACUAAUGCAAGUCUAACAAGGUGAGGCUGAGGUUGAGCAGUAAGCAUUUUAGUUGGUCAACAUUUUAUUAACAACACCUGUCUUAAUAAUAAGUGUGAAUCCCAAGUAUUCCCAUUAAGCAAAUGUAUAAGAGUAUAUCAAAAACACUUAAGUGAAACCACUUAAGCAAAACCAUUGGCAGAUCAUCGGAUCUCGAUUUAUUUCCAUCUUCAAGUUCAAUUAUCAUGUGAGGAGUCCAGGCUGCUCAUAACCGUGAGCACGGCUGAUAUAUCAGUUUUACACUCUGCAGAGGUGGCGCAUCUUUACCCAUGAGUCGUGAUUCCCUUUUAGCCCGGGUUAGCUAGACCCGUAUUCACUUCCGAGGUGAAUGGCCAGGGUCUCACUACGAGGCUUCUCCCUAGAGUCCUCAUUACGCAAAUGCUGGAAAUGGUCAAACUGCAUAAGGCACACCUACCGUAACCAACUUAUAGUCCAGACUACAGGGUAAAGCUUUGGGAACUAUGCACGUAUCCAAUCUGCCUGAGCCGGAACUAUAAGAGCUUGCCAGAUGCCCCCGUUCCUGUCGACCACGACCAGCACCCAACAUAAGACUUCCCUAGUUAUUUAGCCAAGACCAGAGCCAUGAUAGUUCUCAUGGUAGCACUGUUUUCCCGGGUGGUCACUCCAUGUUCCAAUUAAUAUGCAAUAAUCUUGUUUAACCAUCGGGUUAACAACAAUAAAGUAAACUUACCAUUUGGAACAUUAAUAUCAUAAGCGGGAGUGACUGCAUAAAGUUAAGUUGUAGCAAUAGCAUAGCUACGAAAGUAAAGUAUAAUACCCAGGUUUGAUCAAGGAAUAAGGUUGGAAAGGUUAUCUAAAUAGGUAACCCGUCAAAUUAUGCAUAUAUUAAUCGAAGAAUAAACUUUAUUAAAUGUAUUGUUUGGGAUCAAAUAGAGUAUGCAGAGGGAGAAGUCCACUUGCCUUGCUUAUUGAAAACUUGAGGUUCUUCCACGAAAUAUAUCUUGAUUCUCAACUACUAGAUCAACCACUGAAUAUCACACAAACAAACAAGAAGAACAAACACCACUCAAUAACAUACAACAUUCACCAUACGUAAAGCUAAAAGAAAGCCUAACGAAAAGAGCGUUCGCUUUUCAAAUACGUCGCAAGUCAUGGUUAUAAUAAGAGAGUAUUUUUUUUAAAAAAAAUAUGUGAUCUAUACUUUAUAAAACAAGACAUGAGCUUAAAAUAUCUUAAUUAAAAUAUGCAAAUAUUAGGUUCAUUAAUUUUAAUCUUUUAUAAAACGUCAUACGUGACACGUCUAAGAUAAAGGGUUUAUAAGACGAUAAAACAUGUUAUAACGAUAUUAAACAUUUCUAACUUUUUAGAAUAGAUAUAAGUUAUAUAUAUCUAGGGUUAAUGGGCUACUAAUCACGUUAUUAAUUUUAGAAGCACUAUGGAGCAUAUUAUUAAUCAUUCACUUAUGACAAAUUAAGAUAUAAGUCUAAAUAGGUUUUAUGUGAAAAGAUCAUAAUUAUAUUAUUAACCACCUAUUUAAGACGAGUUAAGUUAUGGGCCUUAAGUGGAUUUUCAUGCAAAAGAUAAUAAACGCAUAACCAUCAUUUAAUGUCAUUAAAAAGCACAUAGCCUAUAUUAUUAUAUUUAAAGUCAAUAUAUAUAUAAAGUAACAUUUUAAGUUAUAAAAGAACUUAAACUCUUAUUACUUUAUUUUAUCCUUUAGGAAAAACUAAAUGAUUUAUAUAACAUAGACUAAAUUCUAUAAAACCAUUAAUCAUGCCAUAAAUCUAGUUAAGAACAAAUUGACUAUAGGUUUGAUUAAUAAAUUAUGAUAAAGAAUAAUUAAUCUAUUAAUUAUCUUUAAUUCUAUUGUAGGAACAAAUGAUCUAAUUCAUUAGAAAGGAAAUUAUGUAUAAACUAUCAUUUUAGUUUAUAAAACAAUGACCCAUGUUAUCUUUUAAUUAAGAAAAUAUAAAUAAUCUAUUAAUCGAACAUAUAUUUAUCUUCUAUUUUUACUAAAAAACAUAUGGUUACAUAUUCUUUUAAGUUUCUAUUUAAUACGGCUAUACUUAAACAUCUAUAAUGAACCUUGUUAAAUAUAAUAUCUAUUAAAAAGGUCAUUUUAAAGUUAGAAACAAAUUAUCUAAUUCUUUAGUAAGAAACCUAUAUUUACCAAUAACUAUCAAUUUCUUUAUUAGAAAAGUAUGAGCGUCUAAUUGGCUUAUUUUAACAUUAUUAUAAAAUUCUAUCUUUCGGUUUUCUCCUUUCUUUUCUAAAUAGAAUUUAUACGUAUAACUAAAAAUUGUUUAUUUAAUUCUUCUAACAUUAAUAUACUAAGAAUUAAUUGUAGAUUACUAAAUGAGACUUUUAAUAGUCUAUUCAUGGUUAUUAUGACAUAAAUAAGUAUCUUACUAUUCUAAGUAAUUAAGCACUAUAUUUAUGAAUACAUUUAUUAUGAAUAGUAACAUAUAUAUUUUCAUUUGACCGGAAAUAUGUGGCUUAAUACUUAUUUCAAUUUUUUUUUUCAUGCAAAUAAGUUCACACUUAAAAUACUACUAAUAAUUAUCGUUCCACACACUAAAGUGAAAUCAAAUCUAUAAACGUUUUCUAGUAUGAAAAUCACCACGGUAGUGAAUAGUGACCGUAUUUAUUUUUAGAAAUAUAAAAUCCUACGCAUAUUAAAAGUGUUGUCGCGGGGUUCAACUUUAGCUACACGUAUAUAUCGAAAUCUCUAAAUCAUACACGUGAAUCGCAUCGACUCAAUAUUACACCAAUAUUUCACAAAAUUUAAAACAUGCUUUAGAGAAUAAAUUAACAGAUUGUCUUUAACCUUGGGUUCUCGCUCAUGCGCAGGGAUGAACGUCGGCGAGGGGGUUUCGACUGUGUACAGGAGGGACAGUGGGUUUGGCGUCGAGCAGAGAACGACGCGGUCGUCGAUAGACGUCGAGGUACAAACUCCGGCGAGGCUCCACGGACUCCGGGACAGACGGCGAACGACGAACAACUACGUGGUGAUGAUGUUGCGCGCAGGUGGGCUAGUGGCCGAGGUGCUAAUGCAUGGCGAAUGGUGAGGGAGAGAGAACCGAGAGGAGGGAGAGAGCUUGGGGUAGGGAGAGUGAAGGGCUCGGCUGGGGGUUUUAUAGAGAGGGAGGGAGAGGAGAGGACGCCAGGGUCUUCAAGCUACCAUUAGUGGCGUGCAUCAAUGGAGGGAAGAGUGGGGAGGGAGUAAUGGAUGCAGUAACCUCCAUUCACACAGAGAAACGGACGGUAAUGAAGGUCCAUUAACGAGGUUAGAAGAACGGACGGGGCACGGGUGGCGCGGUCGGUUUCCAGGCAUCGCGCGCUGGGCGCAGCUUCUCGGUUGGCGUGCACGGCUCGGUCGGCGUCGGCUUCAAAGCAUGGUCGUCGCGCGGCUUGGGGCCGGCUCUGCUAGCGCUCGACUCGCACAAGGUCGCGGCCGGACAGUCGGUGUCGCGUGGCACUUCGGCUGGCGCGCACGGCUGGCGAGCGUGUAGGCGCAGUCGGCGUCGAGGCGGGAUCCUGGGCGCCGGUCGGGUGAGCAGUGGAGAGAAGAGAGAAGGAGCAGAGGAGAGAGGAGGGAGAAAAGUGGCGGCGGCCAGCAGGAGAGAGGGCGCGGCUUAGGGAAGGAGAGGAGGCGGCUGUUAUGGGGAAGGGAAAGAAACAACGGCUGCUCCACUAGUGGGCGUCGUGGGGAGCCAGAGAGCCGGUCGGCUGCUAUAAUCCCUUCGGCGAAAUGUUUGAUGUCCAUGCGGUGUGCGGCUGAGAAGAAAGGACUGUGCGAUGGGCCCCACUGUGCAGAGAGAAUAGGACUAUAGGAGAGGGAGCACGGUUCGGCAAGGGAAAAAACUGAGCAAGAGCUCGGCAAGGGAAUUCAUCAUUUUUUUCUUUUUUUUAGAAUAGAUGUGUGUGCGUGAGUGUGUUUGCGUUUUGUUUUUUUUUUCUUUUCAAAUUCCCUAAACGUUUUCCUUCUUUUCUUUUUUUUGACUAAUAGAUAAAUGUUAGUAUAUAUAUUUACAUAUUUUAAAAUUUAUAAUAAAUUUAAAAGAUAAUAUUUUAUAAAUAAGAACACCCAAAUUUUAAAGAAUAAAUCUUUUUAGUCAAAAUUCUAUUAUUUAAAUAGAUUGGGUUCCACAAAAAGUAAAUCGAUAAAAUAAAAUACAUACAAACAAAAAUUAUUACCCUAUGUAUAUUAUUUUAACAAUUUCAUCAUUAUCGUUUUGUAAAAAUGAGAUUUUAUUCACAAGAUCAAAUCCAUAAAUUGGAUUUACAAAUCGAUUCAAAGAAAAUAUAUGCUUCGACAUGAGUGCAUCAAACACUUGGUAAGAUUUUACUACUUAAGAAAUUGUUUAAUUUUCUUAUACCAUUUCAUUAUUUGAAAAUAUAAAUAUUUUCCUUUCUACUGAAAACUAAUAAUUCAAACUGGAUUGUUUUCAGCUGAUAUAAUUUAGGGUGUUACAAAAUCUACCCCUCUAAAAAGAAUCUCGUCCUCGAGAUUAGGGAAGGUUAGCAAGAAAACAAAGGUGAUACAUGGUUUAUUUGUAGGUUCUUAGUUCUCAUUGAACUCCUCCAAACUUAAGGAACUUCCUUACUUCUUUGCUCCAAAAUGUAUACUAAUCAAGCGACCUUCAUCAUCAUACUUAUAAAAUGGUGGGUCUUCUGAAUUAUUGUUUGGGUCUUGCUUGGCAGCUUUCUUCUCUUGUCGGUCUAGACGCUUCUUGGGGCAUUCGCGAAUAAGAUGUCCUUCGUUUUUGCAGUAGUAGCAAGCACCUCUUGCUUUGAGUUCUUUGUGAGUCAACUUUGCUUGACUAACAGGGGAUGAGGGUUGAUUGGGUGUCUGUAUCUCAUAUAGCUGAGCUUGACUUGAUUCUUCUGUUUGGGUAUCCAUGUGUUUCGUGGCUUUUGCUUGUGGUUGGGGUGAACUAAUCAUAUAUCCAAACAUUUUUCUAUUCCUUUUGUUGUUCUUCAUUCCAUUCAUCGAAUAUCUCUGUGACUCAUUUUUCUCGUUCAUAGUUGUUAAGGUAGGGAUAUUGUCAUUGGCACCAUUUACUUCAUUUCCAUUGGGGUUCAUUAUCUAGUCAGAGGAUAAAAGAGUUAGUGAGACAGACUGCAUAAGAGGCUUGUAUGACAUUAAGAUAAAGAGCUAACACAACGUUUUAAUUUCCAAUAUAAGAUUAGUUAAGGAACAAGGGUGGUUUCAGAUUUCUACUAGCUUCAUCAUACUACAAGAGCGUACAAGUGUUAUAAUCCUUAGCAUAGAUCCUUUUGAACCUUAUAAAUUAUAGAGCAUGAUAUCCAAAUAAUCUUUCUGAUCCAAGAGUAUUUCUUUGAGCACAAUUUGAGAGAAAAACUUGAGCGGGACUUUAGGGCAACUAGAGUAGAGCAUCACAUUGUUUGCAUAUAGUAGAUGACAACAUACUUUAUUUCCUUAUAAAGAGGCAAAACACCGUAGGUGUGAAAGAUUCUCCAAAUUUAUUCAUAUAUCACUUAGCACUAUUACAAAUCUUGAAAGGGGCAACACUUUGACAUUUUUUUUUGUGAGACAUACUCCUUCUAGCUAAAUGAUAUAGUAUUCUUCCUUGUCAGAUGCACCAAUCAGAGCUGGAGGUCGAUUGUCUUCAACUACUAUUCUUUCUCCAGAUGGGGUUUCCAAACAUAUGGUUCUAUGUUGGAUUACUGCUUUAGUUCUUUGUAACCAAUUCUUUCCAAGAAUCACAUCCUUUCUCAUUGAUUCUAUCACUAGGAGAUCAGCUGGAAAAUCUAUCCCGUUGAUUUUAACACUUACUUUCGGACAUAUGUAGUUUACUAACAUUUUUCCUUCAGGUGUACUGAUGGUCUUCCUUGAUCUCAAGGGACACUUAAAGAUACCAUACUUUGUUGCAAACUGGGCACUGAUAAAAGAAUGUGUCGUAUGAGGAUCAUACAACACGGUGGCGAUGAUUGAGUGAAUGACUAGUGUUCCAAAAAUCACUGCAUUAUCAUAUGGAAUGGUUCCUGUCACUGUAUAACUUAUCUUUCUUGUGGUCUCUUUCUGUUGUUUAUUCUUUGUUGAUGCAUGGGUUUGAGGGUGUUGUCUUUUCUUUUGGACCUUAUUGAUGUCUACAUCCUUCUUAGGACAACCAUUAACAAGAUGGCCGGUAUCACCACAGCCAAAGCAAGCACGACUUGAUAAGUUACACGAUGGAGUUGUCUUUACGUUGUUGGUAGAAGUUUCUGUGUAUUUUUGUUCAUAUUCCAUGUCUGAAGACUGAGAUGGCUUCAUCUCGGAGGUGAUAUGUAGUGAACUCUUCUCAGGACAGUUACGGAAGUAAUGACCUUCACGUCCACAUUGAUAGCAAGCUUUUCUUGAAGUUAUUUCUUGACUUUUUCCAUAUUUCCCUUUUCGUUUCUUGGACCUGAUGCAACGACGAGGCUGAAACUAUGUGCAAGUAAUAGUCCAUCCAUCAAUGUAACACUCAUGUAUUUCUUCUUGGGGCUGGGCAUCCUUGUGAUGUUUCCUUUUUGGAAUACCUGACAAUUCAUCGUCUGAUAGUGCAUCUGCUAUUAGUUGUUCUUGGGGAGACCAUUGUCUUUUUAUACCAGAAAACAAAAUCUGGUUCUUCUGUUUUGUAGUUUCACUUUCGUUUGUACUGAUCUGGCGAUAAGGAAUUCCAUAGUACUCACAACAACAACAUGUUCCAAGGUCACUUGUUUGUUGGUUUGGUUGGGCAUCCUUUUGUGUCUUGAAUGUCUGUUCAUCAACUGUUUUAUUUAUAGUGUUGUUUUGACUUGCCAACACACCGCAUUCUUUGCACUUAAUGACAUCACUUGCAGUUGACAUUCCAAGGUCUGACAUCUGUAUGGGUAUGGAAGAAUGGAAGGGACGAAAGGGUUGAGUAAAGAUAGAUUAUAGAGAGCAGAGAAAACCCAUCUAUCUAUGGUUUUACCUAGCUAACUGAUGCCAUUGUGGACAAAAGUCACACAAUACACCAACAAUCAUUUCAAAGAAGAAAUCAAACAUGAACACAAAGGACAAUGAACUCAAGCAUACCAGCACAACAUAAUCCAAUUAUACUCAUUCAACCAAAACAAAAAGGUGAGACGAGGUUUGGAAUAAGAAAGAUAUUAUGACAUCAAGGAGUUGGGUAAGAAUUAUCAAGGAGUUAGACAAGACAUAUUUGUUGGUGGCCAAGAGUGAAAUAAGAUAAUCAUGAACUAUUAAAUUCAGAAUAAAUGAUACAACCAAGGAUAUAAAGUGAGUUAGGGAGAAAGCAUUAUCAAGGAGUAGAGAGCCAAAGGUUUCAUACAUCAAGGUAGAUAUUGCGCAAGGGUGGCAAUACAAUGGCAUGAAAGCAAAAGUAUAAGAAUUCAAUAGGGAGAAAGCAUUAUCAAGGAGAGAAGUAGAGAGACAAAGGGUUCAAUAUAUCAAGGUAGAUAUUGUCCAAGGAUGACAAUACAAUGGCAAGAAAACAAGAGUAGAAGAAAUCAAGGGUUAUAUAACAAUCUUAGGAAUUAGAAAACCACUUAUAAUAUAAUAUCGCCAUUACCGAUCUAGUCGAAAAUCUUAGCACUAUAGAACUAUCCUAUCAACCUAACCAAGAAGAAUGGUAAUAGAUCCAAGAGAUCUAUAACGAGAACUUCUUGUGGGGCAGGGAUAAGACAGAGAAUGGGGCAUCUUCAAUAGCUUCUAAAGGUUUCCUUCCGGUAGACUUCACUUCAAGUUCCACAAUCCUAACUUGAUCAUCUUGUAGUACUUCUGAGUAAAGUCUUUUGAUAGACCAAAAUCAGACUAGAAGAGUUGAAAAUAAAAGAGACGAGUUUUGAUAUAAAGUAAGUUUUUAUGGAGGACAAUAUAUCAAGCUUUUGAAAGACUGACUGGGUUUUCCAUUUCUAACUAAUCUAGCGACCUACGGUCACAUUGCUUUGAUACCACUUCUGUCACACCCGUUUCCAAGGGCAGAGCCGGGUGCAUAGCAUAUGUGUGCCAGGAUCUAUUUCCACACAUAUGUUGACGUCACAAGUGUAAUAUAUCAAAAGAACAAUGCAUAAAAGCGUAAAUAACGAUUAUAUUAACAUAUUACACUUUGAACAGACAUAAUGUCUUAACCUUUAUUCAUCAAAGUACAGCGAAACAAGGACAUCCAUCCACAGGAAGAUGACCGGGGGUAUCACUAGACUAGCAUCCACGGAGUUCAGCAUCAUAUCUUCAUCUGCAACUUCUGAUCAAAAUUAAGCAAGGGUGAGCUCACUUAUGGUCGGGGCUCAGCAAGUGGGGGAAAAACUAAUGCAAGUCUAACAAGGUGAGGCUGAGGUUGAGCAGUAAGCAUUUUAGUUGGUCAACAUUUUAUUAACAACACCUGUCUUAAUAAUAAGUGUGAAUCCCAAGUAUUCCCAUUAAGCAAAUGUAUAAGAGUAUAUCAAAAACACUUAAGUGAAACCACUUAAGCAAAACCAUUGGCAGAUCAUCGGAUCUCGAUUUAUUUCCAUCUUCAAGUUCAAUUAUCAUGUGAGGAGUCCAGGCUGCUCAUAACCGUGAGCACGGCUGAUAUAUCAGUUUUACACUCUGCAGAGGUGGCGCAUCUUUACCCAUGAGUCGUGAUUCCCUUUUAGCCCGGGUUAGCUAGACCCGUAUUCACUUCCGAGGUGAAUGGCCAGGGUCUCACUACGAGGCUUCUCCCUAGAGUCCUCAUUACGCAAAUGCUGGAAAUGGUCAAACUGCAUAAGGCACACCUACCGUAACCAACUUAUAGUCCAGACUACAGGGUAAAGCUUUGGGAACUAUGCCCGUAUCCAAUCUGCCUGAGCCGGAACUAUAAGAGCUUGUCAGAUGCCCCCGUUCCUGUCGACCACGACCAGCACCCAACAUAAGACUUCCCUAGUUAUUUAGCCAAGACCAGAGCCAUGAUAGUUCUCAUGGUAGCACUGUUUUCCCGGGUGGUCACUCCAUGUUCCAAUUAAUAUGCAAUAAUCUUGUUUAACCAUCGGGUUAACAACAAUAAAGUAAACUUACCAUUUGGAACAUUAAUAUCAUAAGCGGGAGUGACUGCAUAAAGUUAAGUUGUAGCAAUAGCAUAGCUACGAAAGUAAAGUAUAAUACCCAGGUUUGAUCAAGGAAUAAGGUUGGAAAGGUUAUCUAAAUAGGUAACCCGUCAAAUUAUGCAUAUAUUAAUCGAAGAAUAAACUUUAUUAAAUGUAUUGUUUGGGAUCAAAUAGAGUAUGCAGAGGGAGAAGUCCACUUGCCUUGCUUAUUGAAAACUUGAGGUUCUUCCACGAAAUAUAUCUUGAUUCUCAACUACUAGAUCAACCACUGAAUAUCACACAAACAAACAAGAAGAACAAACACCACUCAAUAACAUACAACAUUCACCAUACGUAAAGCUAAAAGAAAGCCUAACGAAAAGAGCGUUCGCUUUUCAAAUACGUCGCAAGUCAUGGUUAUAAUAAGAGAGUAUUUUUUUUAAAAAAAAUAUGUGAUCUAUACUUUAUAAAACAAGACAUGAGCUUAAAAUAUCUUAAUUAAAAUAUGCAAAUAUUAGGUUCAUUAAUUUUAAUCUUUUAUAAAACGUCAUACGUGACACGUCUAAGAUAAAGGGUUUAUAAGACGAUAAAACAUGUUAUAACGAUAUUAAACAUUUCUAACUUUUUAGAAUAGAUAUAAGUUAUAUAUAUCUAGGGUUAAUGGGCUACUAAUCACGUUAUUAAUUUUAGAAGCACUAUGGAGCAUAUUAUUAAUCAUUCACUUAUGACAAAUUAAGAUAUAAGUCUAAAUAGGUUUUAUGUGAAAAGAUCAUAAUUAUAUUAUUAACCACCUAUUUAAGACGAGUUAAGUUAUGGGCCUUAAGUGGAUUUUCAUGCAAAAGAUAAUAAACGCAUAACCAUCAUUUAAUGUCAUUAAAAAGCACAUAGCCUAUAUUAUUAUAUUUAAAGUCAAUAUAUAUAUAAAGUAACAUUUUAAGUUAUAAAAGAACUUAAACUCUUAUUACUUUAUUUUAUCCUUUAGGAAAAACUAAAUGAUUUAUAUAACAUAGACUAAAUUCUAUAAAACCAUUAAUCAUGCCAUAAAUCUAGUUAAGAACAAAUUGACUAUAGGUUUGAUUAAUAAAUUAUGAUAAAGAAUAAUUAAUCUAUUAAUUAUCUUUAAUUCUAUUGUAGGAACAAAUGAUCUAAUUCAUUAGAAAGGAAAUUAUGUAUAAACUAUCAUUUUAGUUUAUAAAACAAUGACCCAUGUUAUCUUUUAAUUAAGAAAAUAUAAAUAAUCUAUUAAUCGAACAUAUAUUUAUCUUCUAUUUUUACUAAAAAACAUAUGGUUACAUAUUCUUUUAAGUUUCUAUUUAAUACGGCUAUACUUAAACAUCUAUAAUGAACCUUGUUAAAUAUAAUAUCUAUUAAAAAGGUCAUUUUAAAGUUAGAAACAAAUUAUCUAAUUCUUUAGUAAGAAACCUAUAUUUACCAAUAACUAUCAAUUUCUUUAUUAGAAAAGUAUGAGCGUCUAAUUGGCUUAUUUUAACAUUAUUAUAAAAUUCUAUCUUUCGGUUUUCUCCUUUCUUUUCUAAAUAGAAUUUAUACGUAUAACUAAAAAUUGUUUAUUUAAUUCUUCUAACAUUAAUAUACUAAGAAUUAAUUGUAGAUUACUAAAUGAGACUUUUAAUAGUCUAUUCAUGGUUAUUAUGACAUAAAUAAGUAUCUUACUAUUCUAAGUAAUUAAGCACUAUAUUUAUGAAUACAUUUAUUAUGAAUAGUAACAUAUAUAUUUUCAUUUGACCGGAAAUAUGUGGCUUAAUACUUAUUUCAAUUUUUUUUUCAUGCAAAUAAGUUCACACUUAAAAUACUACUAAUAAUUAUCGUUCCACACACUAAAGUGAAAUCAAAUCUAUAAACGUUUUCUAGUAUGAAAAUCACCACGGUAGUGAAUAGUGACCGUAUUUAUUUUUAGAAAUAUAAAAUCCUACGCAUAUUAAAAGUGUUGUCGCGGGGUUCAACUUUAGCUACACGUAUAUAUCGAAAUCUCUAAAUCAUACACGUGAAUCGCAUCGACUCAAUAUUACACCAAUAUUUCACAAAAUUUAAAACAUGCUUUAGAGAAUAAAUUAACAGAUUGUCUUUAACCUUGGGUUCUCGCUCAUGCGCAGGGAUGAACGUCGGCGAGGGGGUUUCGACCGUGUACAGGAGGGACAGUGGGUUUGGCGUCGAGCAGAGAACGACGCGGUCGUCGAUAGACGUCGAGGUACAAACUCCGGCGAGGCUCCACGGACUCCGGGACAGACGGCGAACGACGAACAACUACGUGGUGAUGAUGUUGCGCGCAGGUGGGCUAGUGGCCGAGGUGCUAAUGCAUGGCGAAUGGUGAGGGAGAGAGAACCGAGAGGAGGGAGAGAGCUUGGGGUAGGGAGAGUGAAGGGCUCGGCUGGGGGUUUUAUAGAGAGGGAGGGAGAGGAGAGGACGCCAGGGUCUUCAAGCUACCAUUAGUGGCGUGCAUCAAUGGAGGGAAGAGUGGGGAGGGAGUAAUGGAUGCAGUAACCUCCAUUCACACAGAGAAACGGACGGUAAUGAAGGUCCAUUAACGAGGUUAGAAGAACGGACGGGGCACGGGUGGCGCGGUCGGUUUCCAGGCAUCGCGCGCUGGGCGCAGCUUCUCGGUUGGCGUGCACGGCUCGGUCGGCGUCGGCUUCAAAGCAUGGUCGUCGCGCGGCUUGGGGCCGGCUCUGCUAGCGCUCGACUCGCACAAGGUCGCGGCCGGACAGUCGGUGUCGCGUGGCACUUCGGCUGGCGCGCACGGCUGGCGAGCGUGUAGGCGCAGUCGGCGUCGAGGCGGGAUCCUGGGCGCCGGUCGGGUGAGCAGUGGAGAGAAGAGAGAAGGAGCAGAGGAGAGAGGAGGGAGAAAAGUGGCGGCGGCCAGCAGGAGAGAGGGCGCGGCUUAGGGAAGGAGAGGAGGCGGCUGUUAUGGGGAAGGGAAAGAAACAACGGCUGCUCCACUAGUGGGCGUCGUGGGGAGCCAGAGAGCCGGUCGGCUGCUAUAAUCCCUUCGGCGAAAUGUUUGAUGUCCAUGCGGUGUGCGGCUGAGAAGAAAGGACUGUGCGAUGGGCCCCACUGUGCAGAGAGAAUAGGACUAUAGGAGAGGGAGCACGGUUCGGCAAGGGAAAAAACUGAGCAAGAGCUCGGCAAGGGAAUUCAUCAUUUUUUUCUUUUUUUUAGAAUAGAUGUGUGUGCGUGAGUGUGUUUGCGUUUUGUUUUUUUUUUCUUUUCAAAUUCCCUAAACGUUUUCCUUCUUUUCUUUUUUUUGACUAAUAGAUAAAUGUUAGUAUAUAUAUUUACAUAUUUUAAAAUUUAUAAUAAAUUUAAAAGAUAAUAUUUUAUAAAUAAGAACACCCAAAUUUUAAAGAAUAAAUCUUUUUAGUCAAAAUUCUAUUAUUUAAAUAGAUUGGGUUCCACAAAAAGUAAAUCGAUAAAAUAAAAUACAUACAAACAAAAAUUAUUACCCUAUGUAUAUUAUUUUAACAAUUUCAUCAUUAUCGUUUUGUAAAAAUGAGAUUUUAUUCACAAGAUCAAAUCCAUAAAUUGGAUUUACAAAUCGAUUCAAAGAAAAUAUAUGCUUCGACAUGAGUGCAUCAAACACUUGGUAAGAUUUUACUACUUAAGAAAUUGUUUAAUUUUCUUAUACCAUUUCAUUAUUUGAAAAUAUAAAUAUUUUCCUUUCUACUGAAAACUAAUAAUUCAAACUGGAUUGUUUUCAGCUGAUAUAAUUUAGGGUGUUACACCAUCCGACAAACGCUGGGAGAAGAGGCCUCGUGAAGAGGUACACGCUGCCGGACCACCCGCCUCUCGCGCCCGAGGAGGGCCUCGAGGAGGCGAGCGCACGCUGGACGACAUCCUCGACGCCCAGUGCCCGUACCACAAAGACAUGCGCCACACUCUCCGCAACUGCCGGGAUUUCAAGCACUCCGUCGGGCAUGGCCGACCCUUCCAACCCCUACCACCUCCUCCGCCGAGGGGAGGACCAGGUGAACCACGACAGCCCCAUCAGCCGGAGGAGGGAGGAGGAGGAGCUUUCCCGCGCGUUGACAGGGAGGUCAACGUCAUCUUCGGCGGACAUGGGUCGCAGGAGAACAAAAGACAACAAAAGCUCAACGACCGCCAGAUACUGGUGGCGACCACCGGCCCUCCCGCCCCAUACCGGUGGUCGGAGCACCCAAUCACUUUCACUCGGGAGGAUCAAUGGCUCAACUUUGACCAUCCAGGCAAAUACCCGCUCCUCGUCGAUCCGGUGAUCCGAGAGAGCCGGGUAAAGAAGGUGCUAGUGGACGGGGGGAGCAGCAUCAACGUCACCUUCCCCCGUACGCUCCAAGGCUUGGGAGUUCACCUCAAAGAGCUCCACGAGUCAGACACUCCUUUCUUCGGCAUCGUGCCGACGGAAGGGGAAUACCCGCUGGGCCACAUCUACAUGUCGGUCACCUUCGGGACUCCGGAUAACUACAGAACCGAGUUCCUGAGGUUCGAGGUGGCGAACUUCGACUGCGGGUACAACGCCAUCAUCGGAAGGCCGGGGCUAGCCAAAUUCAUGGCCAUCCCGCACUAUACCUACAUGAUACUGAAGAUGCCAGGACCGCAAGGAAUCAUAACUGUGCGCGCCGACUUCCAAGGCGCCGCAGAAUGUUUCCGAGUGGCCAUCCAAGCAGCCCUCACCACCAAGCCGUCGACGGUUCCUUCUACGCCGGCGAACUCUAAGCCUGAGGAAGACCUCGCCGUACCGGCAAACGAAGCUCAGGCCGCGACCUCUAUGCGGCCGACUGAAGAAACCAAGCGAAUCAACCUGGGGUUCGCUGAUGAGCGCAAGACGGCCAUCAUCAGCUCCAGUUUGAAUGACAAAUAGGAAAGCGCGCUCGUCCAGUUCCUGCAAGAUAACCGAGACGUAUUCGCAUGGCAACCUGCAGAUAUGCCGGGAGUCCCGAGGGAGUUGGCCGAGCACAAAUUGAAAGUCUAUCCUCAGGCGAGGCCGAUCUGGCAAAAGCUGCGUCGUUUCACACCAGACAAGAGAGAGGCCAUUCGUGUCGAGUUAGCUCGCUUGGUCGCGGCUGGAUUUAUUAGAGAAGUAUUACACCCCGAGUGGUUAGCCAACCCUGUUCUUGUACUCAAAAAGAAUAAAGUGGAUUGGCGCAUGUGCGUCGACUAUACUGAUCUCAACAAACACUGUCCGAAGGAUCCCUUCGGGCUCCUGAGGAUAGAUCAGGUGGUGGAUUCCACCGCUGGGUGUUCUGUGCUGUCUUUUUUAGAUUGCUAUUCCGGGUAUCAUCAGAUUAGUUUGGCAAAAGAAGACGAGUCAAAAACGGCGUUCAUCACCCCGUUUGGUGCUUUAUGUUAUACCUCCAUGCCGUUCGGCCUCAAAAACGCUGGAGCGACUUAUCAGAGAGCCAUUCAAACAUGCUUAGCCGAUCACUGGGGCAAGCGUGUGGAGGCUUACGUAGACGACAUGGUGAUCAAAACGGAGAAUCCGGAAAACUUCAUCGAAGACUUACAGCUGGUUUUCAACAGCCUGAGAAGAUAUAGAUGGAAGCUCAAUCCUGAAAAAUGUGUUUUCGGGGUACCAGCAGGAAAGUUGCUCGGAUUUAUUGUCAGCCACCGGGGAAUUAAAGCUAAUCCAGAUAAGAUUGAAGCUAUCAUGAAGAUGGAAGCUCCUCGGUCGCAAAAGAAAGUUCAGCGACUCACUGGAUGUAUGGCAGCCCUGAGCAGAUUUAUAUCCAGGCUGAGAGAAAAAGGUCUGCCAUUUUACAAACUACUCAAGAAGGUGGAUAAGUUUCAAUGGACUUCAGAAGCACAAGAAGCUCUAGACGCACUGAAGAAAUUCCUGACAACACCACCAGUAUUGAAACCGCCCCGGCGAGCUACGCCGACUCAACCGGCUGAAAAUUUGCUGCUAUAUAUCUCUUGCACGACUCACGUGGUAAGCACUGCGUUGGUAGUCGAGCGAGUGGAAGAAGGGCAUGCCUAUCCGGUACAACAUCCUGUUUAUUUCAUCAGUGAGGUUCUAGGCCCAUCGAAGAAAAAGUAUCCUCAAGUUCAGAAGCUAUUAUAUGCAGUACUUCUAACUGCCCGCAAGCUGCGCCACUACUUUGACGAUCACAAAGUCAUAGUAGUUACUGGUUUUCCAAUAGGGGAUAUUCUUCACAACAAGGAAGCCAUUGGCCGAAUAGCCAAGUGGGCUUGCGAGUUGGGAUCCCAUGAUAUCGAGUUCCGACCUCGCACUGCCAUCAAGACUCAAGCACUGGUUGAUUUCGUAUCAGGGUGGACAGAACAGCAAGUUCCAGACAAUCCAGAAACGGCAGAAGUAUGGCGAAUGUAUUUUGAUGGCUCGCUGAAGCUGCAGGGAGCAGGAGCAGGGAUUCUCUUCACCGCACCUGGAGGCGAGCACCUCAAGUAUGCUCUCCAGUUGCUAUUCCCGGCCUCUAACAACGCAGCAGAGUAUGAAGCUUUGAUACACGGAUUAAACAUCGCCAUAUCAUUGGGCGUCAAGAGACUGAUGGUGUAUGGAGAUUCUCUGGUAGUCAUCAGUCAGAUAAACAAGGAAUGGGAUUGUUCAAGUGAUUCAAUGGGAAAAUACUGCGCCGCCGUCCGAAAGCUAGAGGAUAAAUUCGAGGGUCUGGAGUUUCAUCAUAUAGAAAGAGAUCGGAACACGGCGGCCGAUGUACUGUCCAAGCUCAGAUCCGGUCGGACUCAGGUCCCGCCCGGGGUCUUCGUGCAAGAAAUUCUCCAGCCGAGCAUCUCGACGGAUCAAAUAGAAGAGUGCAACAUCAUAGAUCAACCCAAGUCAGACUCUGAUGACUGGAGACAACCGAUUAUUAAGUAUAUAAAGAAUGAAGAAGAACCAGAUGACAAGAACUCGGCAGAGCGCAUUGCCAGACAAUCAGCUCACUAUACACUCAUUGGGGAGGAAUUAUACAGAAGGGGAGCAUCAGGAGUUCUCAUGAAGUGCGUUCUUCCGUCCACCGGGAAACAACUUCUGGAGGAAGUCCAUGCAGGGCAAUGUGGAAUACAUGCAGCAUCCAGAACACUGGUCGGGAAGGUUUUCAGGUCAGGAUUCUAUUGGCCGACGGCGAAGAGCGAUGCAGCCGAGUUAGUUCAGAGAUGCGAAGCUUGCCAAUACUUGUCAAAGCAACAGCAUAUGCCUGCACAGCAACUGCAAACCAUACCAGUAACCUGGCCUUUCGCAUGUUGGGGACUGGAUAUGAUUGGACCUUUCAAGAAAGCUCAAGGGGGAUAUACUCAUGUACUGGUGGCGAUUGACAAAUUCACUAAAUGGAUAGAGUUCAAGCCCAUUGCUUCUUUAACCUCUGCUAAGGCCGUGGAAUUCAUACAGGAUAUAAUAUUCAGAUUCGGGAUACCAAACAGCAUCAUCACUGACUUAGGAUCCAACUUCACCAGCUCAGAAUUCUUUGACUUUUGCGAGCAAAAAAGCAUUCAGAUCAAGUACGCAUCUGUAGCACAUCCAAGAGCCAAUGGGCAGGUUGAGCGAGCCAACGGAAUGAUACUGGAGGCACUCAGGAAAAGAGUCUUCGAUAAUAAUGAAAAAUUCGCAGGAAAGUGGAUAAGAGAGCUGCCUUAUGUUGUUUGGAGCCUGAGAACUCAACCUAGCCGAGCCCUGCAUGGAAACACUCCUUUCUUCAUGGUCUAUGGGUCGGAGGCAGUGCUGCCCGCUGAUCUCAAAUUCGGGGCGCCAAGAUUGAUCUUCGAAAGCAUAGCAGAAGCCGAGGCCACCAGGCUGGAGGAUAUUGAUGUACUCGAGGAAGAACGACUGAAUGCGGUGAUCCAAUCCGCACGGUACCAGCAGACUCUGAGGCGUUAUCACGACAAGGCUGUGCGGCAACGUUCCUUUUCGAUAUGGGACCUCGUCCUCCGCCGAAUUCUAACGGGGGAGGGACGGCACAAGUUGUCACCCUUAUGGGAAGGGCCUUUCAUAGUAUCAGAAGUCACUCGGCCCGGAUCGUAUCGUCUCACUCAGAUGGCUGGCACAGAAGUUGGGAACUCCUGGAACAUAGAGCACCUCAGAAAGUUUUACCCCUAGCUGUAUUUCAAAACAGCCGGGGCGACCAUGUACUCUGUAAAGUGGAAAUAUGUCAUCAAUAAAGAUAGAUUUCAAAGAUACUCGGUUCGUUUACGAUUGACUUGCAUUCUUACUUAACUCGGGGUGACCACUAUGCCCUACAAACGGAGCAAUCGACUUAAGUCGGCAACGACUUAAGGCGGUGCAACAAGCUCACGCUUACUUAACUCGGGGUGACCACUAUGCCCUACAAACGGAGCAAUCGACUUAAGUCGGCAACGACUUAAGGCGGUGCAACAUGCUCACGCUUACUUAACUCGGGGUGACCACUAUGCCCUACAAACGGAGCAAUCGACUUAAGUCGGCAACGACUUAAGGCGGUGCAACAUGCUCACGCUUACUUAACUCGGGGUGACCACUAUGCCCUACAAACGGAGCAAUCGACUUAAGUCGGCAACGACUUAAGGCGGUGCAACAUGCUCACGCUUACUUAACUCGGGGUGACCACUAUGCCCUACAAACGGAGCAAUCGACUUAAGUCGGCAACGACUUAAGGCGGUGCAACAUGCUCACGCUUACUUAACUCGGGGUGACCACUAUGCCCUACAAACGGAGCAAUCGACUUAAGUCGGCGACGACUUAAGGCGGUGCAACAUGCUCACGCUUACUCAACUCAGGGUGACCACUAUACCCUACUAACGGAGCUAUCGGCUAAAGUUGGUGGUAGCUUAAGCCGAUGCAGCAUACUCACACCUAUAUAAUGCAAGGGAUGAUUUCCAUAUCCCACGAACAAAUUUCAUAAUCAUCACGCAACAUUACCACAAAUCUACGAACUAACAAAUUCUGAUACAAUAAGGGAGUAAUCAUAUCAUUCGAAUGAUAAGCUGAUGUCUUCUAACGAAUGUUUGAUCAAGCUAACUGCGCGCUCAGAGCACGCAAAAUGUUUCCCUAUUUUUCAAUAUUUUUCUCAGGAACGACCGACGAAGAAGGGCGAUUCGAGGAAUCGGGGGUAGCAUUCACAUCAGCCUUUAUGUCUUCAGGAACAACCACGCCGGGUCUUCUCAUCAAGAUUCGUCCAGCACGAAUAGCCUUGUCCAUGGCUUUAUCGCGCUGGGCUCUGAGAGUAGCGGCAGUUUCUUCGGCAACUUUAGCGGCCAGCUGAGCAACCUCCAACUCCUGGGCAAUGGUUUUCUUGGAAGCUCGGAGUUCCUUGACAGUGGCAUCCUUCGCUGACAUCAAUUGCUUAAGGCGGGUCACUUCGUCCACAGAUUCUUGCAGCCUACAACGCUGAUUGUCCAGUUCCUCCAUUGUGAAGCGGUGGCUCCUCUCCAAGAUGGUCAGCGAGUUGCUAGAGUCACGAUAUAGUCUGUCCAGAUUGUCACGAGAAGCAGCAAGGAUACGUUUUUCUUCCUACAAACAAAAAUCAACUCAUUCAGAAUCCAAGCAUGUAAUAAGGCAAAGCACGGUUUUGUAAGUUACCUUUUCAGAGUCAAGCCGAGCAUGAAGGGAAGAGCUCAGAGCAUUGGCGUCAUCCAAAGCAGCGGAGACCUGAUUCAGUUCAGUCUGGCUCUGAUAAUACUUCUCUUCGAAGUCAGCACACCGUUGAGCCAUUUUAGUUCGAUCUCGGGAAUGUUUCUCUUCAAGGGCUACAAUCUGCCGAGUCAUUCCUAUCAAGAGGUAAUCAAACGAAAGGAGGUCAGAAGGUAAAACAAUCUACGAAUAAAGGCAAGGAAGAAGAAUAAGAGCACUAACCAGCGUUAGUUGCCUCCAACUCGGAUACACGACAAUGAAGCGACACCGGAUUCCAACGCUCAAGAGAUGAAGCCACUUCUGGGAUGAAAGCACCCUGCGAUCUCAGCUGGCUGGCCAUCCCAUCAACCAAAGCUUGAUGAGAAGAGCGGAUGAGCAUAAUGACAAAAAUUCAUGCAACGUAAAGAUUAAGCUAAAAGUACAGCACAGUACCUGGAGGUUGGAAAAGAACGAAGAGAUCCCCAAAUCAGGAGAGAUCAGCUGAUAACCAGGUGCAAGACCACCAUCCGAAGUAGUUUGCAACGGACCAGUAGGAAUCAGCUCAGUGCCUUCAAUAGAGCCAGACGCCAGAUCAGCGGGGACGCUGCCCUCUAAAGCGACUCCCAGGUCCGGAGUUUGGGCUACAACCAUGCAGCUAGAGUGUGGAGGCGAACCCGCAUGAACGUCCAUGGAAGUGCAGGAAGGAGACCCUGCUCGGGCACCCUCGGGGGCUGGGACACAGUUGGCACUGCCCACUUGAGCCGGAUCAUCCCCGGCAACACCCUCGGGGGCUGGGCAGUGGCUUACAUUCUUCGCCCGAGCUAAGCCAUCCCUGGCGACAUCCUCGGGGGCUGGGCAUGUGUCAGCACCAUUCUUGGGGCCCAUGCUCUCUGCAGUAACCACCUCUAAGGUUGACAGGCCCUCAGCCACUUCCAUGGGACCAGGACAAUCCAAGUCAGCAUCCUGACCCUCGAGAUCGCGCUCUAAGGUCGACGAGGCACGGGACGACCUCAGCCCAGCAUCAGGCACGGCAGCGCAGAUCUCAGUUGCGUCAACAUCCACAGGCUCUGAUAACAAGUCCUCUGGGACCAUAUCCUCCAGAGUUUGCUCAAAGUUGGCCAGGGACAGUUCUUGCAGACCAAUAAGGGCAGACAAAGCAGGAGAAGGAACUCCACUACUUCCACCACUGGCGAUGAACUGCCGACUGUUUUUCCGAGUUAAAGGAACUUCAUCUUCUUCCUCCUCAUCUUCCACAGUAACAAUGCAAGCAGCACCCCCAUUGGGAUCGGCAACACAUGGAGCACACCCAUUGGGUUCAGUAGCAGUUUGGUCACACCCAUUGGGGUCAGCGUCGGUAAGGCCGGUUGCAGGCACUCCUUCAGCAGCAGGAGCUAAGGUACCGGCGUCUUCAUCAAAGCUGGAUACUCGCCGGAGGCGUCUUCUCUUUUUCUUUUGCUCAUCAGCAGAAGGCUCGGGCUGACUGGCUCGGCUAGGGCGCUUUGGACGAGUGCUGACAGGUUUCGGGACAUCCAAAGUUGUAUCAAUCUCUGGAAGGGGCACCACUGCCAAGGUACCAUCAGGAGCAGCAUCGGACGAAUCCUCAACUAAUAGAUCAAGCAUAUCAUUUAUGUCAGCAUCACUGGGGUUCAGAGGCACUUCAAAAUAAACCUGCCGUUCAUCAUCAGGAAUUGCCCCGAGCGAAGCAACCAAAGUACUGACUUCCUCAGCAGAGGGUCGCACCCUAAGACCCAAAUUGCUGUCAGUCACAGGCGGAUUGGACACAAAAAGGAUGAAAGCUUUGGGAGGAGGUAGGUUCCAAGCCGAGUAUGCCACUGGAGCACCAACAUUCGAAACUUUACCCCUGAGGAUCGUUUCAAGUCAGUUUACCAAGUCAACAGAAGGAAUUCUCUUAUUGGUAACCCGAGUUGAGUCGGCCAGCCCUUGAUACAGAUAUGCUGGAUAGGCCCUGUCUUUCAGUGGCUGAAUGUUCUUGAAAACAAAAUCAGUGACCACAUCUUCGGCAGUCAAACCUCUCUCUUUCAGUAAUCUAACUUCGGUAAGCAACACACCUGCCUCGGCAACUUCCUGAUCUGUGGGAGACUCAGUCCAACUCGGAGUGCGAACGUCUGGCUGUCUUCCUGACCGGGAAGGGAGAGAAUUUCCAUAAUUGUCAACUAUAAACCACUCCAGACGCCACCCUUUAAUGCUAUCUUUGAGGGGAAUCUCAAGAUACUCAGUCUUCCGCCCACGGCGCAUCUCCAAACUAGCACCUCCGACCAGCUGAUGUUGCCCCCCAGCCAUUCCAGGGCGGCAGUGAUACAGAUACUUCCAUAAACCAAAAUGCGGCAGCACACCGAGGUAGGCUUCGCAUAGGUGAACGAAAAUGGAGAUUUGGAGAAUGGAAUUAGGGUUCAAGUGGGUCAAGUUGAUAUGAUAAAAGUCAAGAAGGCCACGGAAAAAAGGAGAGAUUGGAAGGCCGAGGCCGCGGAGAAGAAAAGGAGCAUAAACUACUGACUCAUGGGUAUCUUCGGUUGGGACAGUAGUCCCAUGGCAAAUCCGCCAAGAACAGAGUUCCCGCGGAGGAAGAACCCCAAUGGAGACAAGACGGAGAAGAUCAGUUUCGGAAAUAACGGACAUGUGGUUACCUGCGAAAGGUAACUGACUGUUGGGGUCGAUUGCGGGGAUCACCGCAGCAGACGAGUUCGCAGCUUUUCUCUUGGGCGCCAUCUUGCUUCUCACUGGCGGGCAGGGUAGGAGGCGAGUGGCAGAGGAGAUUCAGAUGCGGGAAUGCAAGAACUAGGGCACGGAAAGCAAAGGCGGCUAAAAGCGCAACUCUUAUGGGAUAUUCUUGAGCCAGAUACCCAUUCAAAAAGUGCCCAGUCAUCACCCGGCGGUUAUUUCCGAAACCCCAGCAUGCCACGUGGACAUCCGACAGUUAUUUCUAAGAAAACCGACGUGCCACUUCAUCACUCGGUUAUUAUCCUCAAAAUAACUCAUGAGGCUGGCUAUCACUCGGUGUUGCCUCUAAAACGCUGACCUCGUGUUUAAUCGCUCGGCAUUACUUCUAAAAUGCCGGCGUCAACCUUCAAUCACUCGGCGUUGCCUCUAAAACGCUGACCUCGUGUUCAAUCGCUCGGCAUUACUUCUAAAAAUGCCGGCGUCAACCUUCAAUCACUCGGCGUUGCCUCUAAAACGCUGACCUCGUGUUCAAUCGCUCGGCAUUACUUCUAAAAUGCCAGCGUCAACCUUCAAUCACUCGGCGUUGCCUCUAAAACGCUGACCUACUUCUAAAAUGCCAGCGUCAACCUUCAAUCACUCGGCGUUGCCUCUAAAACGCUGACCUCGUGUUCAAUCGCUCGGCAUUACUUCUAAAAUGCCGGUGUCAACCUUCAAUCACUCGGCGUUGCUUCUAAAACGCCGACCUCGAAUUCUGUCGCUCGGCGUUACUUCUAAAAUGCCGAUGUCGACCUUUAAACACUCGGCGUUGCCUCUAAAACGCCAAACUCGUAUUCUAUCGCUCGGCAUUACUUCUAAAAUGCCGACACCGACCACGUGUUCAAUCGCUUGGCGUUACUUCUAAAAUGCCGAUGUCGACCUUUAAACACUCGGCGUUGCCUCUAAAACGCCAAACUCGUAUUCUAUCGCUCGGCAUUACUUCUAAAAUGCCGACGCCGACCUUCUAUCAUUCGGCGUUGCCUCUAAAACGCUGGUCUUGUGUUCGAUUGUUUGGUGUUACUUCUAAAAACGCUGAUGUCAACCUUCACAUCGCUCGGCGUUGUUUCUACUAUAUCAAAAGAAACAGUUCAACAUUCAGAAAAAGCAACACCGAGUCAUUGAAAAGGGGGUAAACGACAGUUCUUCAUUAAGGGGAAGUUAAUGAAAUUACAAACCAACUCUUCGCGAGUUGGUGCUUCCCUACUUCUACUCUACAUUACUACUACUACUAAACUACACUAUACUACUCUACAUUACUACUACAUUAUUCUAACUACACUAUACUAAUAUCUAAAGACCAGUGGCGUUUAGCCACUGGCCUUGCUGCUGCUGCCCUUGCCGCCGCCGCCCCUGGUGCUGCCCGUGCUGCUGCCGCCUCUGGUGCUGCCCUUGCCGCCGCUGCCCCCGCCGCCGUAGCUGCCGUCACCGUCGCCGUCGCCACCGUCGUCGUCGUCGUCGUCGUCGUCGUCAUCUUCGUCCUCGCCGCCGUCCGAGUCCUCCUCGUCCGAGAAGAACUCCCUCGAGCCCGGAGCGCUCGAUGGCCCGGAUGUACGUCCAGACCUCCGCGGCAAUCCCCUGGGAGUCGUCUGAAUCAUCAGACGACGCCGGGGGAGAGACGGGAGCCGGAGAUCCCUCGGACUCGGAGGAGAAUUCCUCCUCCGAGUAUUCCGAGUCGCCGAAAUCCUCCGACGGAGGAGUCGGCUCACGCUUGCGUUUGUGACCCUUGCCCAUGGCGAAAGCAGAUAGAAGGGAGGAGAAGGAUGCAGUAAAGAACGGCGAAGAGAUGUUAAAAAAUCAGAGGAGCAAGUGCGUUAUUUAUAGAAGGGAAAGGCAACCGCUCACUUCCAACCGCGGUCACUGAACAGUCGCAAAGCAUUCAAUAAGCACUCCCACCCAUCUGAAGACACGUCAGACGGCUGACGCCGUUUCAUGCAACACUACACCCAUUGGGACUGCAGUCAACAUCGCAAAGGAUAUGAUUACACUAGCCGUCCCAUCACAUUACUACUCAGAAGCAGCCGGCUAAAACACUCAGCGCACCAAGCCGUCCCUUGCCCACACCCAUUGGGGGGGGACGCCCAGGAAUUAUCAGUAUAUUUUUCAAAACGGUCACAUCCGUGCAGAGCACGCAGUGAAUACCUCAAGACAAAAAUGAGAUACCAGUAAGGAUCAGAGGAAAGCCAAAUAUAGCCAGCAAAGUACAAGAUGUGACCGACAGAAGCGAUGCAAUGACUAGACAGAGAACGUCCAUCAAACGUCCAAUCAGUCGCAGAAGCAAAUAAAUUGCACUACCUAGCAAGAUAUGGAUGGAUUGCAAACUCGGCUGCUAAAGACAAAAUAUAUGCUGACCUCUGCAGCAAAAUAUUGAUGACAUAAUGCUGACCUCCAAAGCAUAACGCAAAUAACUUCAUGCCAAAUUCUACAAACGAAAGAGAUGAUUUUCAGCAAAGAGGCACGAAAGGAAGACCUUCGAAUGGAUUAUCCUUAAAAAAUCCAUUUGAAGGUCGGGGGUUACACCCAUUGGGUGCACCUCCGGUGCACCCCAUGGAUUAUCAUUCUAAACCGAUAUAGCGCCGACUUCUAAGGCGUGGGACAAGAUUGAAAAGGCCAAUUCUCAACCGAGAUGCAGGAGCGCGAAUGGAGAUAAUCUUUGGGGAAGACCUUCGAGUAGAUUAUCUUCUAAAAUCUACUCAAAGGUCGGGGGCUACACCCAUUGGGUGCACCUCCGGUGCACCCAAUAAAGUCCAGAAUCCUACAAUUCAAAAUGCCGACCUCUAAGGCACAAGCACAAAACUAAACUUCGGUCGAAUGAGUGAUCGGAGCAAGAGAAGACAGCAGGAAGUCAUUUUUCGGACCUUGGAUCUUUGAGUUGAUUACCUCUAAAUCAACCCAAAGAUCGGGGGCUUGUGGGGGAUAGAUAUCCCCCGGGUCCACUAAAGAAAUAAAAUACCUCACGAAAGGCCCAAAGGCCCAAUAAAUCGUAAGGUCGUUCUUCCGUGGGCCUGGGGAAAGACAAUCAACGAAGCGGAGAAGACGUAAGACUAGAUUGGAGCAAACCCAGACGGCCCACAACGUCGAGCGAGUAAAUCGCAACAGAGACCCGACUUUCCCGCGCUGAAGCCCCCAUGCAACAGAGCCAUGCGAGGAUAAGUCGGCAAGGGUUACGUAGGGAUAAACUCGAGAGGUUUACUAUCUUUCAGCUACUUGUAGCUAUCAUAUCCACAUGUACUGCCCCACGGUCGAGUAUAUAAGGCCUAGGGGGCACCCCUUCAGAACGACCGACCCUGUUUGACAUAGCCACCCACGUAAAACUCUCUGCGCCCUCUAUCAGAGAACCCUCUUGUAACCACGCUCAUAUACUCACCAGGACGUAGGGUGUUACGCACUUCUAAGCGGCCCGAACCUGCAAAUCUUGUCUAUUGUCCCUCGUGCAAUCGGCACGAACCAUUUUGCUACAGUCGUUGACACCGUCCUACUCCUAAAAACACCUUGAGGGGCAACCCCGGGUGUGCGGUCGGACCCAAAACACCGACAACCGCCGUCACUUCACCGCUCCACUGACCGGCCUGACAGAAGGACAGCGCCGCCUGCGCCACUCCGACUGCAGUGCCAUUUGACAGAGUGAGACUGACAGGCAGUCAGGCCCUGCCAAAGGCACCAUAGGAAGCUCCGCUCCGCCCGACCUAGGGCUCGGACUCGGGCUAAGUCCCGGAAGACGGCGAACUCCGCUCCGCCCGACCCAGGGCUCGGAUUCGGGCUAGGUCCCGGAAGACGACGAACUCCGCUCCGCCCGACCCAGGGCUCGGAUUCGGGCUAGGUCCCGGAAGACGACGAACUCCGCUCCGCCCGACCCAGGGCUCGGACUCGGGCUAAGUCCCGGAAGACGGCGAACUCCGCUCCGCCCGACCCAGGGCUCGGACUCGGGCUAGGUCCCGGAAGACGGCGAACUCCGCUCCGCCCGACCCAGGGCUCGGACUCGGGCUAAGUCCCGGAAGACGGCGAACUCCGCUCCGCCCGACCCAGGGCUCGGACUCGGGCUCAGCCCCAGAAGACGACGAACUCGGCUCCGCCCGACCCCAGGGCUCGGACUCGGGCUCAGCCCCAGAAGACGACGAACUCCGCUCCGCCCGACCCCGGGGCUCGGACUCGGGCUCAGCCCCAGAAGAUGACGAACUCCGCUCCGCCCGACCCCAGGGCUCGGACUCGGGCUCAGCCCCAGAAGACGACGAACUCCGCUUCGCCCGACCCUAGUGCUCGGACUCCGCCCCGGCCUCUGCCGAACGACCUCCGCCUCGCCCGACCCAGGGGCUCGGACUCGGCCUCGGCCAUGGAAGACAGACUCGACCUCGGCUUCGGAGGAGCCUCCACGUCGCCCAACCUAGGGUGCAGGCCAGCCACGUCAACUGGAAGCGCCAUCAUCACCCUACCCCGAGCUGACUCGGGCCGCAGAGAACAAGACCGGUGUCCCAUCUGGCUAGCUCCGCCAGAUAGGCAAUGAUGGCGCCCCGCAUGCUCUGUGACGACGGCGGCUCUCAGCUAUCUUACGAAAGCAGGAGGACGUCAGCAAGGACUCAAUCGCUCCGACAGCUGUCCCUCCGCCAGGCUCCAUCGCUCCUCCGACGGCCACGACAUCUCACCAGCUGGGUGCCAAAAUCUCUCCGGCUGCCACAUUGGCAUGUACUUAGGGCACUAGCUCUCCCCCGCUAGACACGUAGAACUCUGCUACACCCCCAUUGUACACCUGGAUCCUCUCCUUACGCCUAUAAAAGGAAGGACCAGGGCCCUCUUAGAGAGGGUUGGCCGCGCGGGGAAGAGGACGGGACAGGCGCUCUCUUGGGGCCGCUCGCUUCCCUCUCCCGCGUGGACGCUUGUAACCCCCUACUGCAAGCGCACCCGACUUGGGCGCGGGACGAACACGAAGGCCGCGCGAUUCCCACCUCUCUCACGCCGGUCUCCGGCCGCCUCGCUCCUUCCCCCCUUCGCGCUCGCCCACGCGCUCGACCCAUCUGGGCUGGGGCACGCGACACUCACUCGUCGGCCCGAGGGACCCCCCCGGUCUCGAAACGCCGACAGUUGGCGCGCCAGGUAGGGGCCUGCUGCGUGUUGACGAACAGCUUCCCGUCAAGCUCCAGAUGGGCAGUCUCCAGCAACCUCUCCGACCCGGGACGGUGCUCCGUUUCGGGAGUCUUGAGUUCAUGUCCUUCGACGGCAGCUACGACAUGAUACUCCUUCCACCGCCGCGCGACAACGACAAUGGCGGCCGACAUCCCGCUAGCCGGCGGCGGAAUCGACGACGUCUUCCCCGCGUGGUGGAAGAACAACAUUCGAGCUCGCCCCGUCCUCUCCCCCACCAACGGAGGAGGAGGCGGGGCAACCAAGGCCAAGCGGGAGGCCACGCCUCGUCGGCUGUCGAGCGAGUCGAUGUCCCCAGCGCCCCAACGGGGGGCGCGUCGGGCGUCGACCUCGCGUUUGAGACGAAGGCGAGCGCCGUCUCCCCGUGACACGCCAAUCCCGAGCAAGCGGACGAUGCCAGUGCGCUCGCGGAGAGCUUGCAGGACGUCGCCCUCGUACCAGAGGCGACGGUGCAGUCAGUCCUCGACGUGACUUCAUCGCCGCUCGACGACCAAAAGGUACCGACCGAUUCCCAUCCUACGUCUUUUGGAUUCAGCCUCAACCCGCCUAGCAAUCUUGCUUUGGCGGGCGCCCUCGUAGAGGCGAGUUCAAACCCUCUGGGGUUUCGCAUGCGGUCGCCUUGGGACCGGCUGACGGACGUCUCGACCUACGGGCCCUCUGGGUCCGAGGAAGAUGACGACCCCAACAUCUGUUGGGAUUUCUCUGGACUUGGCAACCCCAGUGCCAUGCGGGACUUCAUGACUGCAUGUGACUACUGCCUCUCCGACUGUUCCGACGGUAGCCGCAGCCUCGACGACGAGGACUGUGGCCCAAGCCGCGAAUGUUUCCACGUCGAUCUAGGGGAUCCCUCCGAAGGCAAUCAUCUCGGCAUGCCGGAGGACGGUGAUCACCCUAGGCCGGUGCCUCACGCUGACAUCCCACGGGAGCUAGCUGUGGUCCCCGUUCCGGCGGGGGGUCACGACCCACAGCUCGAGCAAGCCCGAGGGUGCAGGCCAGGCUCGACGAGGGAGCAAGAGCGCUUGGGCCGAUCCGCCGGGACGUCGGGCAGGCAUGGGCGGGCCAACCCCCGGCCGGAGAAAUACGUCACCUGCCCCAGGGUCUCCAGCACCGCGUCGCCGAUGACGUCAGGGUCAGGCCGCCGCCCGCAUCCAGUGGGGUCGGUCAGAACCUGGCUGCAGCAGCGAUGCUUCUCCGCGCGAUGCCGGAGCCAUCAACCACCGAGGGUCGGCGAAUCCAGGGGGAGCUCAAAAAUCUCCUGGAAGGCGCUGCGGUCCGACGGGCCGAGAGCUCUGCCUCCCGAAGGCAGGGAUACCCCUCGGAACCUCAUGCCGCGACUUCCCGAUUCAUGCGGGAAGCCUCGGUCUACACCGGGCGCACGCGCAACACCGCGCCUGCGGCCCCGGGCCACCUCAGCAACGAUCACCAUCAUCGCGACUAUCGGGCCCACCUCGACGAGAGGGUGCGCCGAGGCUAUCACCCCAGGCGUGGGGGACGCUACGACAGCGGGGAGGAUCGGAGUCCCUCGCCCGAACCACCCGGUCCGCAGGCCUUCAGCCGGGCCAUCCGACGGGCACCGUUCCCGACCCGGUUCCGACCCCCGACUACUAUCACAAAGUACUCGGGGGAAACGAGACCAGAACUGUGGCUCGCGGACUACCGCCUGGCCUGCCAACUGGGUGGAACGGACGACGACAACCUCAUCAUCUGCAACCUCCCCCUGUUCCUCUCCGACACCGCUCGCGCCUGGUUGGAGCACCUGCCUCCGGGGCAGAUCUCCAACUGGGAUGACCUGGUCCAAGCCUUCGCCGGCAAUUUCUAGGGCACGUACGUGCGCCCCGGGAAUUCCUGGGACCUCCGAAGCUGCCGACAGCAGCCGGGAGAGUCUCUCCGGGACUACAUCCGGCGAUUCUCGAAGCAGCGCACCGAGCUGCCCAACAUCACCGACUCGGAUGUCAUCGGCGCGUUCCUUGCCAGCACCACCUGCCGCGACCUGGUGAGUAAGUUAGGUCGCAAGACCCCCACCAGGGCGAGCGAGCUGAUGGACAUCGCCACCAAGUUCGCCUCUGGCCAGGAGGCGGUCGAGGCUAUCUUCCGAAAGGACAAGCAGCCCCAGGGCCGCCUGUCGGAAGAUGCUCCCGAGGCGUCUACUCCGCGCGGCGCCAAGAAGAAAGGCAAGAAGAAGUCGCAAGCGAAACGCGACGCCGCCGACGCGGACCUUGUCGCCGCCGCCGAGUACAAGAACCCUCGGAAGCCCCCCGGAGGUGCCAACCUCUUCGACAAGAUGCUCAAGGAGCCGUGCCCCUAUCAUCAGGGGCCCGUCAAGCACACCCUUGAGGAGUGCGUCAUGCUUCGGCGCCACUUCCACAGGGCCAGGCCACCCGCGGAGGGUGGCAGGGCCCACGACGACGACAAGAAGGAAGAUCACCAAGCAGGAGAGUUCCCCGAGGUCCGCGACUGCUUCAUGAUCUACGGUGGGCAUGCGGCGAAUGCCUCGGCUUGGCAUCGCAAGCAAGAGCGCCGGGAGGUCUGCUCGGCGAAGGUGGCGGCGCCAGUCUACCAAGACUGGUCCGACAAGCCCAUCACCUUCAACCAAGCUGACCACCCCGACCACGUGCCGAGCCCGGGGAAAUACCCGCUCGUCGUCGACCCCGUCGUCGGCGACGUCAGGCUCACCAAGGUCCUUAUGGACAGGGGCAGCAGCCUCAACAUCAUCUACACCGAGACCCUCAGGCUCCUGCGCGUCGAUCUGUCCUUCGUCCGAGCAGGCGCUGCGACCUUCCACGGGAUCAUUCCCGGGAAACGCGUCCAGCCCCUCGGACGACUCGACCUUCCCGUCUGCUUCGGAACGCCCUCCAACUUCCGAAGGGAGACUCUGACGUUCGAGGUGGUCGGGUUCCGAGGAACCUACCACGCGGUACUGGGGAGGCCAUGCUACGCGAAGUGUAUGGCCGUCCCCAACUACACCUACCUGAAGCUCAAGAUGCCGGGCCCCAACGGGGUCAUCACCGUCGGCCCCACGUACAAACACGCGUUCGAAUGCGACGUGGAGUGCGUGGAGUACGCCGAGGCCCUCGCCGAGUCCGAGGCCCUCAUCGCCGACCUGGGAAGCCUCUCCAAAGAGGUGCCAGACGUGAAGCGUCAUGCCGGCAACUUCGAGCCAGUGGAGACGGUUAAGGCCGUCCCCCUCGACCCCAGUGGCGACGCCUCCAAGCAGAUCCGGAUCGGUUCCGGGCUCGACCCCAAAUAGGAAGCAGUGCUCGUCGACUUUCUCCGCGCGAACGCCGACGUCUUCGCGUGGAGUCCCUCGGACAUGCCCGGCAUACCGAGGGAUGUCGCCGAACACUCGCUGGAUAUUCGGGCCGGAGCCCGACCCGUCAAGCAGCCUCUGCGGCGAUUCGACGAGGAGAAGCGCAGAGCGAUAGGCGAGGAGAUCCACAAGCUGACGGCAGCCGGGUUCAUCAAAGAGGUAUUCCAUCCCGAAUGGCUUGCCAACCCUGUGCUUGUGAGAAAGAAAGGGGGGAAAUGGCGGAUGUGUGUAGACUACACUGGUCUCAACAAAGCAUGUCCGAAGGUUCCCUACCCUUUGCCUCGCAUCGAUCAAAUCGUGGAUUCCACUGCUGGGUGCGAAACCCUGUCUUUCCUUGACGCCUACUCAGGGUAUCACCAAAUCAGGAUGAAAGAGUCCGACCAGCUCGCGACUUCUUUCAUCACGCCCUUCGGCAUGUACUACUAUGUCACCAUGCCGUUCGGUUUGAGGAAUGCGGGCGCGACAUAUCAGCGGUGCAUGAACCAUGUGUUCGGCGAACACAUCGGUCGCACGGUCGAGGCCUACGUCGAUGACAUCAUAGUCAAGACGAGGAAAGCUUCCGACCUCCUCACCGACCUUGAAGUGACAUUCCGAUGUCUCAAAGCGAAAGGCGUCAAGCUCAAUCCCGAGAAGUGUGUCUUCAGGGUGCCCCGGGGCAUGCUCUUGGGGUUCAUCGUCUCCGAGCGGGGCAUCGAAGCCAACCCGGAGAAGAUCGCAGCCAUCACCAGCAUGGGGCCCAUCAAGGACUUAAAAGGCGUACAGAGGGUCAUGGGAUGUCUUGCGGCCCUGAGCCGCUUCAUCUCACGCCUCGGCGAAAGAGGCCUGCCUCUGUACCGCCUCUUAAGGAAGGCCGAGUGUUUCGCUUGGACCCUUGAGGCCGAGGAAGCUCUCGGGAACCUGAAGGCGCUCCUCACAAAGGCGCCUAUCUUGGUGCCUCCAACUGACGGAGAAGCCCUCUUGGUCUACGUCGCCGCGACUACUCAGGUGGUUAGCGCCGCGAUUGUGGUCGAGAGGCAAGAAGAGGGGCAUGCAUUGGCCGUUCAGAGGCCAGUUUACUUCGUCAGCGAAGUACUGUCCGAAACCAAGAUCCGCUACCCACAAGUUCAGAAGCUGCUGUAUGCAGUGAUCCUGACGAGGCGGAAGCUGCGACACUACUUCGAGUCUCAUCCGGUAACUGUGGUGUCAUCCUUCCCCCUGGGGGAGAUCAUCCCGUGCCGAGAGGCCUCGGGCAGGAUUGCAAAGUGGGCGGUGGAAAUCAUGGGCGAGACAAUCUCGUUCGCCCCUCGGAAGGCCAUCAAGUCCCAGGUCUUGGCGGACUUCGUAGCCGAAUGGGUCGACACCCAGCUACCGACGGCUCCGAUCCAACCGGAGCUCUAGACCAUGUUUUUCGACGGGUCGCUGAUGAAGACGGGAGCCGGCGCGGGCCUACUCUUCAUCUCGCCCCUCGGGACACACCUCCAUUUCCCGGCGUCCAACAAUGUGGCUGAGUACGAGGCUCUGGUCAACGGAUUGCGGAUCGCCAUCGAGCUAGGGGUCCGACGCCUCGACGCUCGCGGUGACUCGCAGCUCGUCAUCGACCAAGUCAUGAAGAACUCCCACUGGCGUGACCCGAAGAUGGAGGCCUACUGCGAUGAGGUUCGGCGCCUGGAAGACAAGUUCUACGGGCUCGAGCUUAACCACAUCGCUCGGCGCUACAACGAGACUACGGACGAGCUGGCAAAAAUCGCCUCGGGGCGAACAACGGUUCCCCCGGACAUCUUCUCCCGGGAUCUGCAUCAACCCUCCGUCAAGAUCGACGACUCGCCCGAGUCUGAGGCGCCCUCGGUCCAGCCCGAGGCACCCUCAGCUCGGCCCGAGGCGCCCUCGGUUCAGCCCGAGGUACCCUCGGCCUCCGAGGGCGAGGCAUUGCGCAUCGAGGAGGAGCGGAGCGGGGCCACGCCUGAUCAAAAUUGGCAGACCCCGUACCAGCAAUAUCUCUGCCAAGGAGAGCUACCCCUCGACCGAGCCGAGGCUCGGCGGGUAGCGCGACGCGCCAAGUCGUUCGUCUUGGUGGGCGAUGAGAAGGAGCUCUACCACCGCAGCCCCUCGGGCAUCCUCCAGCGAUGCAUCUCCAUCGCCGAAGGUCAGGAACUCCUGCAAGAGAUACACUCGGGGGCUUGCGGCCAUCACGCAGCGCCUCGAGCCCCUGUCGGGAAUGCAUUCCGGCAAGGCUUCUACUGGCCAACGGCGGUGGCUGACGCCAUUAGAAUUGUCCGCACCUGCGAAGGGUGUCAAUUCUAUGCGAAGCAGACCCACCUGCCCGCUCAGGCUCUGCAGACGAUACCCAUCACUUAGCCCUUUGCUGUAUGGGGUCUGGACCUCGUCGGCCCCUUGCAGAAGGCGCCCGGGGGCUACACGCACCUGCUGGUCGCCAUCGACAAAUUCUCCAAGUGGGUCGAGGUCUGACCUCUGAACAGCAUCAAGUCCGAGCAGGCGGUGACGUUCUUCACCAACAUCAUCCAUCGCUUCGAGGUCCCGAACUCCAUCAUCACCGACAACGGUACCCAGUUCACCGGCAGAAGAUUCUUGGACUUCUGCGAGGAUCACCACAUCCGGGUGGACUGGGCCGCCGUGGCUCAUCCCAUGUCGAAUGGGCAAGUAGAGCGUGCCAACGGCAUGAUUCUACAAGGGCUCAAGCCUCGGAUUUACAACGACCUCAACAAGUUCGGCAAGCGAUGGAUGAAGGAACUUCCCUCGGUGGUCUGGAGCCUGAGGACAACGCCGAGCCGAGCCACGGGUUUCACGCCGUUCUUCCUGGUCUACGGGGCCGAGGCCGUCUUGCCCACUGACCUGGAAUACGGCUCCCCGAGGACGAGGGCCUACAGCGAUCAAAGCAACCAAGCUAGCCGAGAAGACUCGCUGGACCAGCUGGAAGAGGCUCGGGACAAGGCCUUACUACACUCGGCGCGGUACCAGCAGUCCCUGCGACGCUACCACGCCCGAGGGGUCCGGCCCCGAGACCUCCAGGUGGGCGACCUGGUGCUUCGGCUGCGGCAAGACGCCCGAGGGAGGCACAAGCUCACGCCCCCCUGGGAGGGGCCAUUCGUCAUCGCCAAAGUUCUGAAGCCCGGAACGUACAAGCUGGCCAACAGUCAAGGCGAGGUCUACGGCAACGCUUGGAACAUCCAACAGCUACGUCGCUUCUACCCUUAAGAUGUUUUUCAAGUUGUUCAUAUACCUCGCACCCACACAAAGUUUAGUCAUCAAGGAAGGGUCGGCCUCGCCUCGGCAAAGCCCGACCCUCCCUCGGGAGCUAAAAGGGGGGAACCCCCUCUGCGUUUGAAAUUUUCCUCGAAAAAAGAUCUCUUCUGCCAGAAUAUCUUUCGUGCUUUCUGACUACGUCGAAAAGUGGAUCCUGAAAACGACGGAGUACACGUAAGCAGCCAAGGCUGACCGAGCCGAGGGACUCCUACGCCUCCGGGAUACGGAUACCUCACUCAUCACCUUCUGCGAUAAGUAACUCGCGUUCGGAUAAAGUGAUUCCGCGGACCGAACAAGUCUUCACGUUCGGAAGCUCUUCUGCCGAAGCGAUCCUUCGAGCCUUCUCGACUGAGUCGGUGACAGGGCCUCAUGGACGGGUGAACGUGCGCGUAAGCGGCAAGGCCGACCGAGCCGAGGGACUCCCACGCCUCCGGGAUACGGAUACCUCACUCAUCACCUUCCGCGAGAAGCAACUCUCGCUCGCACAAACAUCCCUGUUACCGACAAAAAAGUCCAGAUACUUGAAACAAGAGGAAAGGAGACGCAGCUUUACAACACAGCAAGGGUGUGUAUUCUGGCCUCGGCGGCCGCAGAAGGCACACGCUACAAGACACUCUGAUCCUGCAGGCUCGGGUCUUGACGCUGGAAAGCGGCAGCAGCACCCUCGGCAUCGACGACACCUUCAGCAAGGUCCGACCUAGCCUCGGACGGUGACGCGGUCCAAGGAUCCCCACUCUGGAGGACGACAUCAUCAUCACGCCCGGACAAUCGCUGUCAGGGACUUCUCCAGGAAUUCGGCCCGAGCAGGCGGCUCGGCCGGUUACCCCUGGGGCCUCGGCCAACCAUCUUCCAAGGGCGCCAGCCCGACCCGAGGCCUCGGCUGAUCAACUCCGGCGUCGGUCCCGCUAACGGACAACCCGGCUAGGCUCCGGCCAACCAGGUUUCAUUUUCGAGCCAACUCCGCCUCUGUUCAUGCUGAUAUCGCUACCCCUGGCCUCGGCUCAUCGAAGAGCGGCCAAGGGGUCCCUUUAACUAAGCUAGAGGAGCCUCAGACAACAAGGCCGACCGAGCCGAGGGACUCCUACGCCUCCGGGAUACGGAUACCUCACUCGUCACCUUGACACGGGGCGACUCAUGCUUGGUGAAGUGGUUCAGAUAAUCAACAGGCGAGUCUUAGUGCUCGAAAAUGAGGAAAAAACACGGCUCCGUGCCAAAAUUACAUACAUGUUCAGGCCCCGAAAGCCGUAAUGAACAAAACACUGGCAUUCAAAGUGCCAUUACAAACGGAACUCCGGUUCCCCCUCCGCAGGUACGAACAACCCCACUCGAUAGGGGUGGGCCUGCGGAGCAACAGAAGACCGACGAACGGCGCGCCGUCACCCGCUCCAGCGGCGGUGACGACGACGACUUCUGCUCCGGGGGGCCGAACAGCGGCAGCACUGACCUCAGGGCGGAUGCUGCUGCCAGGAGGCCCCCGCCCAUACCCAAACUUGUGAGGCAAGGACGGGCAGAAGGCCGUAGAGUUGGAGGUCGGUCUGUGGCUGGCCUUGGCUAUCGCGCCGGCGGAAGAACCUCUUCCAGCUGCCGUGGCAGACGCCGGCGCCGCGAGCGGCUCCGAAGCCACUCGCGUCCGAGAGCCAGGCACGGUGCAGCUGCCGGCGCCACGGACGACGACCGCCCUUCCCUCCGAUCACUGAGUGAAGGAGCGGGCCGCCGCCCACGCAGGGGCCGACCCCAACUCGGCACACUCCCCUCCCCAGCCCUGGUGAUGAAAAUCCUUGAGGCUGAGGGAGGGGCAGAGGCCGCAGCCCGGCUCGCUUUCCCCCACCAUCAAGCUGGAGGUCACCAUCUUGGGUGACCACCGGUGGAGGGGUGCAGCCGGGCUGCAUGAUGAAAAUCCUUGGAGCCGAACGAUGGCUGAAAGGUACCAACUCCCACGGAGUUGCGUUCCUCCAAUGAUGAGGCGAAAAGACGGCGGGUAUCCCCCAUCCGGGGGCUUGGAAGGUGAAAAGACGCGAUGCAUAAGGGAGCAAGAAGACAUGGUCGCCUUCCGAAAGGGGUCGCCCUCCUUUUAAAGGCCACUCUCCCUACUUGCGCCUCCAACCGUCACGGGCUGAGUCUUCUCCAACACGCUCCAAGGCCCUCCCCUGCGGCGCGGGGGCUGGGUCCCGCAUGUCAUGCAAACCGGCUCAAAGCAGAAGAAGCCAAACCGCCGCGCGUGGUGCACACGACCGCCCAGCGGUUACAAGUGACCCACCACUUUUGCCCAGACCAAUGGGCGAAAGAGGCGGGCAGCCAAGCAGGCGGCAUGCGACCGCGCCAAGUGGACACGCUUCUCCGACCCCCGACACGCCAGCAUGGAGGCCCAGCCCCACGCGUCACGCAACCGGCGCGCCGGAUGCUGCAUGCAAGCAACUGCACCGCCACUUGCGCCACCAUCGCGCCUCCUCGAUUGCGGAACCAAUACCGCGACUCGAGGCAACCCAGCGCACGACCCAGCAGCGCCAGCCUGACGCGGCGGUCAAUGCGGCCAAAAGUGGGCUGGCAGUAAUGACGGUGGCAUGCGGGCAGGAGCAGCGGUCACGUCGUCAGCCAAGCUCACGUCCCAUCCAGGGGCAGCAAGAGAACCCCCUCUCACGGCGUGAAGACAACGCGCCCGUGAUCCGUUCCUCGAACGGCUCGCGCACGCGCAACGGCCGCCCCGCCAACCACUCGCCCCGUCGCAUUAACUCCGCGGCGGGACAGGCGGCACUUCUGGCAGGAAAAGCGGGCGACGCUUCGCCUUCGCCGAAAUAACCACGCCAAAAAAGGUACGCCGCGUCGUUCGAUUUCGUAUCCUUUUCCUUUUUUCCUCUUUCUCUAUCUCUUGCAACAGGGACCGGGAAAGGGAGAUACCCCGAAAAGGAUCCUUCCCCGUGAAGGAACCAGGCUCCGAGCCUCCUUACUGAUCAGAGGUUCGAAGGCUGGCCCCCCGAAGGGUUCAACAGCCGCCUGAGAUCGCGUGGGCCCUACACCCACUACUGGUCAGAGGUUCGAAGGCCGGCCCCCCGAAGGGUUCCACGGCCGCCUCAGGCUACCCGGGCUCCACGCCCAUUACUGAUCAGGGGUUCGAAGGCUGGCCCCCGAAGGGUUCACAGCCGCCUCAGACGCCGAGCGAGGGAUGACCAGGGGUACGUUCGAUACAUAACCAAGGCUCGGGCUGCGCUCCCGAGGUACCCUAGGAGCCCGAGGUACCCUAGGACAUUUCCGAGACCAGCGUGAGCGAUCUUGUAACGGAAUCCCAUCAGAGGGAGGCAUCGAGCUCUCGGACCCCGUCGCCAGGGGACCGGGUCCGGCAGAUCACCCGCAGGUACUUUUGGGCGUGCCUCUGGGCCCCUAGCCGACCCCUAACGAACGGGGCACGGACGUCCACUCGGAUUACCCGCUUGCAGCUCACCGGAGACACCAUGUUCGGCGCCCAUCGAGGGUAACAUGGCGCUUUCCCCCCCUCCUCCUUGCGGAAAGGCGACGCAGGGGCGUAUGUAAAAAGCCGAGUCUGUCCCUGAUCGCCCUCUCGCCCUGUGCAGAGGCUCGAGGGCUGCUCUCGCAAACCCGGCUCCGGCCGAACCGUUGACAGCGUCAACAUACCAGCCCGAGAACUUGGGCCCCAACCGUACACCCGGGCUACGACCAGUUCGCAUGAGGGAACAACCAGACCAGCCGAAGCAUUACGCAAGGCAUUAAGACCUCGAAGGAGUGAAACCACUCCUCCGAGGCCUCGGGGGCUACACCCGGCGGGUGCGCUCGCGCGCACCCACCGGAACAAAAUGCAACCGAGAAAGGCUGGUCCCCUUGCAAAAAAGUGCGACGAAAGCCUCCAAGCGAGUGCUAACACUCCCUUCGAGGCUCGGGGGCUACUGUCGGGGACCAUAAUUAGGGGUACCCUCAAGACUCCUAAUUCUCAGCUGGUAACCCCCAUCAGCAUAAAGCUGCAAAGGCCUGAUGGGUGCGAUUAAGUCAGGGAUCAGUCCAUUCGAGCGACUCGAUCACGCCUCGCCCGAGCCUAGCCUCGGACAAGGGCAGCCGACCUCGGUGGAUUUCCGUCUCGCCCGAGGCCCCCCUCCGACGGCGGACACAUCUCCGGCUCGCCCGAGGCCCUGCCUUCGCUAAGAAGCAACCCUGACUAAAUCGCCGCACCAACCGACCGAAUCGCAGGAGCAUUUAAUGCAAAGGUGGCCUGACACCUUUAUCCUGACGCACGCCCCCCGGCAGAGCCGAAGUGACCGCCGUCACUUCACCGCUCCACUGACCGGCCUGACAGAAGGACAGCGCCGCCUGCGCCACUCCGACUGCAGUGCCAUUUGACAGAGUGAGACUGACAGGCAGUCAGGCCCUGCCAAAGGCACCAUAGGAAUCUCCGCUCCGCCCGACCCAGGGCUCGGACUCGGGCUAAGUCCCGGAAGACGGCGAACUCCGCUCCGCCCGACCCAGGGCUCGGACUCGGGCUAGGUCCCGGAAGACGGCGAACUCCGCUCCGCCCGACCCAGGGCUCGGACUCGGGCUAAGUCCCGGAAGACGGCGAACUCCGCUCCGCCCGACCUAGGGCUCGGACUCGGGCUAGGUCCCGGAAGACGGCGAACUCCGCUCCGCCCGACCCAGGGCUCGGACUCGGGCUAAGUCCCGGAAGACUGCGAACUCCGCUCCGCCCGACCCAGGGCUCGGACUCGGGCUCGGCCCCAGAAGACGACGAACUCCGCUCCGCCCGACCCCAGGGCUCGGACUCGGGCUCAGCCCCAGAAGACGACGAACUCCGCUACGCCCGACCCCGGGGCUCUGACUCGGGCUCAGCCCCAGAAGACGACGAACUCCGCUCCGCCCGACCCCAGGGCUCGGACUCGGGCUCAGCCCCAGAAGACGACGAACUCCGCUUCGCCCGACCCCUGGGCUCGGACUCCGCCCCGGCCUCUGCCGAACGACCUCCGCCUCGCCCGACCCAGGGGCUCGGACUCGGCCUCGGCCAUGGAAGACAGACUCGACCUCGGCUUCGGAGGAGCCUCCACGUCGCCCAACCUAGGGCGCAGGCCAGCCACGUCAACAGGAAGCGCCAUCAUCACCCUACCCCGAGCUGACUCGGGCCGCAGAGAACAAGACCGGUGUCCCAUCUGGCUAGCUCCGCCAGAUAGGCAAUGAUGGCGCCCCGCAUGCUCUGUGACGACGGCGGCUCUCAGCUCUCUUACGAAAGCAGGAGGACGUCAGCAAGGACUCAACCGCUCCGACAGCUGUCCCUCCGCCAGGCUCCGUCGCUCCUCCGACGGCCACGACAUCACACCAGCUGGGUGCCAAAAUCUCUCCGGCUGCCACAUUGGCAUGUACUUAGGGCACUAGCUCUCCCCCGCUAGACACGUAGCACUCUGCUACACCCCCAUUGUACACCUAGAUCCUCUCCUUACGCCUAUAAAAGGAAGGACCAGGGCCCUCUUAGAGAGGGUUGGCCGCGCGGGGACGAGGACGGGACAGGCGCUCUCUUGGGGCCGCUCGCUUCCCUCUCCCACGUGGACGCUUGUAACCCCCUACUGCAAGCGCACCCGACCUUGGCGCGGGACGAACACGAAGGCCGCGGGAUUCUCACCUCUCUCACGCCGGUCUCCGGCCACCUCGCUCCUUCCCCCCUUCGCGCUCGCCCACGCGCUCGACCCAUCUGGGCUGGGGCACGCGGCACUCACUCGUCGGCCCGAGGGACCCCCCGGUCUCGAAACGCCGACAGGUUUGGGCUAAUAAUCAUGUUCUUGCUGCUAGCGGGGCACCACUAUGUGGUAGAACCACCCGAAUUAUUACAGCUUAAGUGCCUAAGUCACGCCUCAGGGGCCGUAACACACUUAAAUCGGAAUAACCCGUCAGUCCCUCAGAUCUAUUCUGAUAGAGCCACUUAACCAAGAUCAAAUUCCACAAUCUCACUCAAAGGUGAGUCACAGAAGAAAUACAAUAAAACAGGAAACCUCAAAUUAAGUGCUGAAUUAUUACAUAGAUCGGAGUUUUUGAGUACCAAAUAAGAGUUCACGAAAAUAAAAUGCAGCGGAUAAUCGAUGUCGUCGGUAUUGAGGAAAUGGGCAAGGCCUAGCCCACUACUCCUCAUGCUCCUCUCCUGCCGGAGCAACAUCCCACUCGACCGUCCAACCCGGUGGCAGGGUGGUAGGCCAAGUCACACCAUCAACCAUAUCCUGAAGUGCACCUGCAAAAAUUAUGCCACAAGCAAGGCUGAGUAUACUAAUACUCAGCUAGACUUACCCGGUGUGAGGAAACUACUCUUCUACCUCUAAACUAUGCAGCUGUUUGGAUGAGGGGUUUGGUUUGCCAAAAGCACUAGCUGUUUCUAAAAUCAAUUUUUAGCUUUUCAAGUUCUAGCAUCAUCAUCUUAGCUAGGUUUGCUCCUUCUAAGCAUACAUGGUGACAAGCAUUUAGUUUAAUCAACAAAUUGUCUCAUGUAAUCUCAUUUCACUUCUUACUCGAUGCAGUACAAGGGGUCAAGCAGUCUCAUUAGCUACGAGAAGCAGAUGAUUCGAAUCGAGUUUUAUCCUUGCAAGGUAAACCUAAACACAUGACAUGUCAGGGUACUUCGACCCCACACAUGUCAACCGUCCCUAUCGAUUCCCCGUUCGCGUCCAGGCCUCACCGCCUUGGCAUACAAUGCUCCAUUGACCCCGGCUGCCGCCGUGCAGUGACCGCACUUGUACCCACCAUAGCUAGCAUGGGAGACCCAGUCUCAGGUCGCAUGAGGGAUAAAGUCCGCACCCUGCUUCACUCAGGUACUAGGUUUAUCGGUUACCAUUUUCUCGACAUGUGCUUAGUACGUUCAAACGCUUGACUCAGGUAUCCACACAUUAAUCCUUAAUUCCUUUUUCCCGUCUCAUGGUCAAGGCAUCCUCCCUGGAUCCAAGUCCAUAGACUAACAUAGAUCCUGUUAUCAAGAUGAAUACAAUCAAUUCCUGACCUCGCGCGAGUGCUAGAAAAAUCACUCGACUUCUACCGUGAUCCUGAUUAGCAAGCAGCUACUCGACCUAGCAUACUAGUAUUCAUCUCAAAAAGGAUUCCUAAGUUCAUGCAACUAGAGGUUUCAAGCAACUCCUACACUUAAGUGCACAUUACAAUCCUACAAGCAUUAAGUGUAGUAAAGUAGCAUAUAAUAAUAUGGUUAUGCAUAUAAACCGGGGCUUGCCUUCAAUAGCUGGGGCUACAGGGAGAUCCUCGAUAGCAGCCUCGGAAGCUUGCUCCUGGUCCUCUUCUUGGACAGUUCCUUGCUCGGGGAUGAGCACGUACUCUCCGUCGGCGAGAUUACAAUCUAAUGAAUGCAAUGCGUAAGAUAUAUGCAUGAUAUGAUAUGUGCUUUAGUAAUUUAAACUUUUGAUGGUGUAUGAUCUACUUGAGUUAGAUAGAGCUAAGUCUUGCUUAUACGAGACUUUUGGGUGGUAUACUAGGUAAAUUGGAUCAAUCUUAGCUAAGUUAAGUGGUAGGUUUAUUUUUGGGGUUCCACUGAAUUCUUUUUAAAGUCUUAGUGAGAAUUGACAAGAAUUCAAGUUGGACUUAUUGGAGUGAGGUUUAUUUCUUCUUUCUUUUUCUUUAUUCCCCUUAAGUUUUUGGAGUGGGUUUGAACUACAAGUUGCCCUAAUAAAUUUCCAAAAAUUCUGUAAAAAUUAUAGUGGCUUAUUACUAGUGUAUAGUUCUCUGUCUCAAAAUUUGGGGUUCAAAAAGUGAAUAGUUUUCUCUCGACAAAAUUACCAAAUUUUAGGGCAGAGGGGGUGAUUUGAACUACAACUACCAUAUAAUAGUAGGUAAUUCUCUAAAACUUAUUUUUUCUGGCAUUUAGGUGCUAUAACAUGACUUGGCACAAAAUUCGAGCCAUUAAUACUUAUUAGUUAUUUUACUAGGAUUUUCUAAAGUUUCUAGCCAAAGGGGUGCUUUCUACUACCACUAUAUUUGAAAAAUAUCAAACAACAGAUCUCUGAUUUUUUCUAGCUUCUAUUUUGCGCAAGAGCAAUCAUUCUGAAGUUUGGCAUCUUUUUGCUUAAGGGAAGAGGUGGUAUGCAUUAAUUGGAUUAAAUGGCCUUUCUUAUAAAAUAUUGGCAAUAGGUAUUAUUUUGCAUCCUUCUAAUAGGUUUGCAUUUUUCUCUGGUGGCCUUUCUCAUCAUUGACCUAGCAAAAUUUUAUUUGCCCAUUAUUGCAUUAUUAUGGGUUAUUCAUGAUUUAUUUGGAAUAUGACUCAUUAUCAUAUUAUAUUUAUUUACCCUAUUUAAAAUGAUGGGCUGGGGUGUUUAUUAUUUUUAGAGUGGGGUUUUGGUAGUUACAAGUCCACUGGAUUUCUAGUUACCCUAUUUAAAACAUUUCACUUUAAAACUGAUCUGGACUAGAGAUCCCAUUAUUAUUCCUAGGUUCUCUGUUACUUAAGCAAACUAGGAAAAAUAAUUUCACUCAUUGUUCAUUAAUUUCUAAUGCCUUUCUGAUUUUCUUAAGUUUUGGGCAGAAAUGGCUUUUAAUGGAUAUCUACACUCAAUUUUUCAAUACUGGGGUUCUUACUAUUUUUAAACAGUGCUUAAAUGGGGUUUGAACAUCUACAAAUUUUCUCAGGUUCAGCAUAGAAACAAAACUAAUUUUCCUUAAUUAACUAAGGUUUGGUUAGUUUCUGUUUUAAUUUUAAACUUUAAAAAUUAGAACAGAAAGCAUAGGGUUCAUUAUUUUUAAAUGAUAGUUCAUAUUAUUUAGGAUCUAGCAAAAUUAGGUUGACAACUUUUGGUUAAAAAUUCAUCAAGUUAUGAAUUUUCUAAGUUCUCUGUUUAUUAAAAAGAUUAAACAGAAAUGAUUAAAUGGAAAACUACUUUGCAACGGGGUCCCUGGCGGGUGUUUUAAGUUUUCCUUACAGACUAGUCCCUGGGCUACUAUACAAAUGAGUCACUGACAUCUCAGAAAACCCCCUGGAUUCUUCUAAUCCUAACCCGAGGUCCUUUCCCCAAUUUAAACAGUACCCGCGGCGGAAGAAAGGGCGGAGGGGCUUACCGGUGGCGAGAUUGCUCUGGUGAGGUGGCCGAGGGUGUAGGGGAGGUCCUGAGGGUCACGACGAUGUGCGGGUCGCCGUCGGGGAUGGUCGGAGUCGGCCGGUCCGCGUGCGCAGGUGGGGGAGCUCGUCGGCUGCGAGGAGUCCGGCCUAUCCAGGGCGAAAUUGACCAAUCAAACAGGUCAGAGAGCUUCACCAGGGAUCAAGGAAGGGGUGUGCGCGAGGAAUUGAAGAAUGGCUCACCGGAGUGCCCAGUCUACGCGUGCAGGCGGGCGGCCGAAGUCUGGUGAGGUCGAUCUUUGCCUUUCGGUGAAGUUCUGCCAGGUCCGAGGGCUUGGAAAGCUUCACGGGCCUAUGGCGGAGCUAACCGAAGCGCUGGCGCGACUUGGGGGUGACUGGAGUGGGCUGGCCAUGGUGGCCGAAGCUCUGGCGGCAAUGGCGGGUGGAAAGGAGCUCGCCAGAGCUAAGGAGGGGUGUCUGGUUGGCGGUGGUGAGCGCGGGGUGAAGUGAGGCGCGCCCGGGGAGGUUUUAUAGGCGCGGGCGAGCACGACCGAGGGCGGGGCUCUGACAAGUGCUCGAGGCGUGCGCGGCGAACGCCAGUGCGCGCUCUGGCGUCUAGCACAGCGUCGAGCACGAGGCAGCGUAGGGAGAGGUCGAGUUCCAGCGCGGAUUGGCCCCAAAUCUUUGAGAUUAUGGCCAUGAUCCCGUUGAGAGAUCUCUUCCUCUCAGGUUCCUUUGUCGUUUGUGUGUGGAGGCUAGCAGGUUUUGCUGAAUGGAUUAAGAGAUACAGAGGGGAGAAAUCAUGCUUGUCUCACUGCCGCACACAGGGAGAAGAUCUCUGGUUUGACGUGUCCAAGGCACGCGUCCCAAUGCCAUCUUCUGGCACGAGACCGAGAGGUUAGUUAUGCACGUUUUUGUCAAUGGGGCCAAUAGGAUUUGAGUUAGGGAUCAUGGUGAACACACUUGAUCUUUGGCUCAAGGUCUGAAAUUCAGAAUUCUGAUUUUCAGAAUUCCCUAAUGAAAUCCCACUUGAGAGGCUUGUUUAGAGUUUUAUUUAAAUUGUUUUGGCCAAGCUUCCAAAAUCUUUGUUAUUGCUUAUUUAGCAUACUUUAAUGUUUAUAAUUGGCCCAAGCCAUUAUUCUAAAUUUUUGAUACUCUUUUCCCCAUUUUCUUGAAUUUUGUUUAUAGGGCUCAAUUAGGGUUUUUGUUGGGGUUGCACAUUUUGCCUUUUUGAAAAACCCAUUUGUUUUGAACAUGAUACUUUUAAGUAUAAGCUUAGUGGGUUCUUUAUUCUUAAAUCAACUUGAUGUUCAUGCUAAAUUUUGAUUCACAUAAGAUGAUGGUUCUUGGGUUAGCACUUGAGAGAAACCCUAGGUGAUAGUGGGGUGUCACAGCCUUCCCCCCUUAAAGGAAUCUCGUCCCGAGAUUCGGGCCAGAGUCCUCCCGGGGUAGAGCGAAGGGUGAGACUUAUAGGAAGUGGGUGCUUAUUGUUAUUAUUAGGGCAAACUGCUCUUCGAAUGUCAUUCUCUUUGCAACUUUAGAAGGAAGUCCUUUUUAAAUUUGUUUCAUGAUUACUUCAUUCUGAUUUAAGAUCAUAUUUCUGAAUUUUAGAUUCGAAGGGCAGGAGGAGGGGUUGGGCGUGAUUACGUACCAGUUUCCUUAGGUAGGCAAUUGGGAAAGUUGGAUCUCAAGAAUUCCUCAGUCUCCCAAGUAGCUUCUUCCUCUAAGUGAUUACUCCACUAGACCUUGUACAUCUUGAUCGAUUUAGCCCGAGUUGAUCUUUCUUUGCAAUCCAGAAUCUUGGAGGGGUACUCUUGGUACGAUAGUUCUGGUUCUAUCUCCAAUUCUGGCUCUGCUAUGAUCUCGGUCGACAAUCGAACACACUUCUUCAGCUGAGAUACAUGGAACACACUGUGUAUGGCAGACAGUUUUGAAGGUAGCUUCAGCUUAUAUGCCACGGGUCCACAUGCUUCGAUGAUCUCAUAAGGUCCAAUGUAACGAGGGGCUAGCUUGCCUUUGAUUCCAAACCUCUGCACUCCCUUGGUGGGUGAUACCUUGAGGUAUUCGAAAUCUCCCACCUUGAAUUGGAGAGGUUUCCUUCUUUUAUCAUGGUAACUCUUCUGCCUGGCCUGAGCAGUUUCUAGAUUCUUCCUGAUUAGUUUGGCCUUCCUUUCGGCUUCAGUCACUAAGUCAGGUCCAAAAACUCCUCUUUCUCCAGGUUGAGACCAAUUGAGUGGUGUCCUACACCUUCUUCCAUAGAGAGCUUCGAAAGGUGCCAUCCUUAGGUUGGAUUGAUAACUGUUGUUAUAAGCAAACUCUGCCAAGGAGAGGUGCUUAUCCCAGUUCUUACCACAAUCGAUUGCACAAGCUCUCAGCAUAUCCUCCAGAAUUUGGUUUACCCUUUCCGUCUGACCAUCAGUUUGUGGGUGGUAAGCUGAACUUCUGAUUAGCUUGGUUCCCAAAGACUCCUGCAGUUGUUCCCAAAAUCUGGCAACAAAUUGGGCUCCUCGGUCAGAAACAAUGGUCCGAGGUAAUCCGUGCAAACACACGAUCCGGUCAAUGUACAACUCUGCAUACUUUUGAGCCUUAUCAGUGGUGUGCACAGGAAGAAAAUGUGCAACUUUUGUCAGUCAGUCCACAAUAACCCAAAUCGAAUCAUGAUGACGAGAGGUGUUGGGCAGACCCACGAUGAAAUCCAUGCUGAUGUCAUCCCAUUUCCACGAAGGUAUAGAUAGGGGUUGCAAAGCUCCAGCUGAUUUCAAGUGGCUUGCCUUUACCCUCUAACAAGUGUCACAUUCUGAUACAUACUGGGCUAUCUCCCUCUUCAUUCUGGUCCACCAAUAUAAAGGCUUCAGAUCAUGGUACAUUUUGGUGCUUCCCGGAUGCAUAGAGAAUUUGGAGAGAUGAGCCUCGUCCAAGAUUUUACUCUUGAGGUCCUUGUUUUUAGGAAUCACCAAUCUGCUUUUGAACCAUAAUACACCCUUUUUAUCUUGGCGGAAACAUUUAUACUUCUCAACCUUCUGAUGGAGAUUCUUCUUGAUAAUCUGCGCUGCCUUGUCACUGAGCUGGGCCAUGAUGAUCUGGUCUUGCAAAGCUGGCUCGACAGAAAUGUGAGACAGAGCACCAGAAGGAAUCACUUCUAUUUGCAUCUUGCUCAACUCAUCACACAAGGUGUUGAUGCGAGAAUCCAUCAGAAUACAAUUGCAUUGCAACUUCCGACUCAAGGCAUCUGCUACCACAUUGGCUUUCCCUGGGUGAUAAUGUACCUCCAGGUCAUAGUCCUUGAUCAGCUCUAGCCAUCUUCUCUGCCUCAUGUUGAGAUCAGCCUGAGUAAAGAUGUACUUAAGGCUCUUAUGAUCAGUGAAGAUGUUGCAGUGGGUUCCCAUUAAAUAGUGCCUCCACAUUUUUAAUGCAUGAACCACUGCUGCCAACUCGAGGUCAUGAGUGGGAUAAUUUUGCUCAUGAGGCCUGAGUGCUCUUGAGGCAUAAGCAAUGACUCGGUUGUCUUGCAUUAAGACACAACCUAGUCCAGUGCCAGAGGCAUCACAAUAUACUUCAAAAGGCUUGUUGUUGUCGGGUUGCGCUAACACUGGUGCUGUGGUCAGAUGCUGCCUUAAUGCAUGGAAGGCAUCUUCGCACUUCUGACUCCAAACAAACUUGGCUUCUUUCUUCAGCAACUCAGUUAUAGGCUUCGCAAUUCGAGAGAACUCCGGAAUAAAUCUUCGGUAAUAACCAACUAAUCCCAGAAAACUCCGAAUCUGACGGACAGUCGUUGGUGGCUUCCAGUUCAUCACCUCUUGCACCUUAUCAGGAUCAACGGCUAUUCCUGCCUGAGAGAUAGUGUGACCCAAGAAUUUGAUUUCCUUUAGCCAAAAAUCACACUUGGACAACUUGGCAUAAAGGUGGUGCUCUCGCAGACGUUGAAGCACUACAUGCAAAUGCCCGACAUGUUCUUCUUCGUUUUUUGAGUACACCAAGAUAUCAUCGAUGAACACCACUACGAAUUUGUCCAAUUCAGGCAUGAAAACAGAAUUCAUCAGAUACAUGAAAUAUGCUGGUGCAUUUGUCAGCCCAAAUGACAUCACCAAGAAUUCAUAUAGCCCGUAUCUGGUUGAGAAUGCCGUCUUCGGAAUAUUGCUUGCUCGUAUCUUGAUCUGAUGGUAGCCGGAGCGAAGGUCUAUCUUGGAAAACACCUUGGCCCCGACCAACUGGUCAAAAAGAACAUCAAUACGAGGCAAAGGAUACUUGUUCUUGAUAGUUACCGCAUUAAGAGGGCGGUAAUCUAUACACAGCCUCAAGCUUUCAUCCUUCUUCUUCACAAACAGUGCUGGACAUCCCCAAGGUGAAGUACUUGGGCGAAUAAAUCCCUUAUCCAGCAACUCCUGCAAUUGCUUCUUCAAUUCUGCCAGCUCAGCGGGUGGCAUUCGGUAGGGCCUCUUGGAAAUUGGUGCCGUUCCCGGUUGCAACUCGAUGGCAAAUUCAAUAUCCCGGUCUGGUGGCAUUCCUGGCAAUUCAUCAGGAAAGACAUCUGCAUACUCUUAGACCACUGGGAUCUUCUUCAGAGGUAACUCCGUCAUAGAGAAAGCACAUGACUGAGUAGAACCUUGACUGGGCAGAAUUAAGGCGAAGUUCUCGCAGAACGGAGAAUUAAUUUCCACGGUACGGCUGGCUACAUUAAGCACAACUUGGUGCAAGGUCAUCCAAUUAGCUCCCAAAAUAAUGUCCACAUUUUCCAAACCCAACACAAGAAGGGUGGUUUUGACGAUGUGGCUUCCCAGUUGAAUAGGCACACUUUGGUUUAAUUGAUUAGUUGAAAUUUUACCCCCAGGUGUGACUAUCAUAAAUGACCCUUUUGAGUGAGAGAAUGGUAGUUCACAUUUAGCACUGAACUUUUGGCUAACGAAACUAUGAGAUGCACUAGAAUCAAAUAGAAUUAAAGCAGGUUGAUUAUAAACUGAAAAGAUACUGGUCAUGAUAGGAGCUCCCUUAGGUACUUCCUCAAGAGUAGUGAAGUUGAGCUUCCCUUGCCUGACUUGUACCUUCUGCUUUCUUCCCUUGUCUUGAUUUGGUGCUGGCAUCUGCCUCUGCUGGUUCCUAGGACAAUUCUUGGCAUAGUGGCCCACAAUGCGACAAGUGAAACACUUGUUCCCAUUGCCCUGGCGAAACUGCUGCUGCUUCGGAGGUUGAUUGUUCCUUGGAGAGGGAGCUGGAAAGCGGCUGGGUGCCGGCUGCUGCUGCUGAGGUGGCUUGAUCACCCAUCUGCCUGCCUGCUGCUGGAAACCCCUGCUCUGAUUGUGAGAAACAAUCUGGAACCUCUGGGCCUGAGCGGAUGGUGCUGCCAUUUGUGCCUUUCUCUUCUUCUCUGCCCGGUGAGCUACAAUGCAAUCUUCCUGAGAGAUGGCCAGGUUGACCAACUCAUUGAAGCUAUCAGCCCGAACAGUGUUGAGUCAUUCCCGCAGCUUGGUGUUAAGACCCCUGCGGAAGCGGUCUCUCUUCUUUUCAUCAGAAUCAACAUGGUACCCUGCAUACUGGCAUAGGUCGUUGAAGGCUUGCGCAUACUGCAGUACCGUGCGGGUUCCUUGAUUAAGCGCCAGAAACUCAUUCAACUUGCGAUCAAGGAUGCCAGCUGGGAUGUGGUGUCCUCUGAAAGCAGUCUUGAAUUCCUCCCAAGACACUUCAGGAUCAGCGGGGAGCAUAACACAGAAGUGGUCCCACCAAGUCUGAGCAGGGCCGCGAAGCUGCUGCGCGGCGAAGCGAGCCUUGGCUUCAUCAGGGCAGUCUCCCAUGAGGAGGGGAAACUUGGACUCAACGACACGGAGCCACACGUCGACGUCCAACGGAUCCUCUGCCUUGGUGAACAAGGGUGGCUGCGUACUCAGGAACUCCUGGUAGGUUGCCGCUGCCGGAGGUCGCUGAUGCUGGCCUCCACCAUGCUGCUGAGGGUGGGGCUGGCGCUGCAAGAGCUGUCACAGAAUCUCGUUCUGCUGGGCCAUCAGCUCCUGCAUUGUGGGAGCUGGAGGAGGUGGUGGGGGAACCUGCUCGUUAUGCCCGCGACGCUGCCUAGCUGCCAUCUGAAAAUAGAGAUUGCCGCCAUUGUUAUCCAACUCACAAUUUCGGACGACAAGAUAUUAUCUCAUAUGGAAGGAAAAAUGCCAUAAUAAUAAUAUUAGGUUCGAAAUGAAGAUAACAUGGUGACAAACAUCCCACAGAUUCCAAAAGUUCACAGGGUUACAUCAAGGGAAAAGGUACCCGUAAGCCUAGUCCAAAAUCUGACAUUAGCUAAGCUCGCAUAGGUUUCUAUCCGGCUAAAAGUGUCGAAGUGACUGAUUAACCCUGAGCGGUGGAAGCGACACUAGAUACGGGUGAAGGAGGCAUCGCGGAGGUAGUCCCAUUGGCACCAGGGGCUGGUCCUAGCUCCUCGGGAGCAUCUUCUCCCUCGCUUCUGGCUUCAUUGGCCUCCAUCUCCAAGUGGUGCAUGUCCAGGUGGUCAUUCGCUUCUUUGAGUUCCCUCUGCUCAUCGUGGAGCUGAUUCUCCAAGACAUCAAUAGUGUUGUCUCGGAUCUCCACCUGCUGCUCCAAGGUGGUAAUGCGCUGGCUCAGCCUUUCCACCUGCAGAUCCUUCUCUACCAACUCGGUGGAUAAAUCGACCACAAAAUCUUCUCGACUAUCGAGAGUGAGCUUGGCGGUUUGAGCGAUGUUAGCAAGGUGUGCCAUAGCGUCGCUCUGAAGGGCCUGAAGGCGGUACAACGCACUCAUGCACUGGACAGUGACCCUCCCAACCAAGUCAGGAUACAUUGCCCACACAUCCUUCACAUGGCUCACGCGGUUACACCACAUGGGGUCAUCCUUCUUCUCAGCAGGGAAGAGUCCCAAGGGGUGCAUCACCAUUUCUAGGGGAUGGUAACCAUAGAAAGUCGUCAGAGUCUUCAUGGCUGCCGCUUCAAUGGUGUCGUCCGUCCUAAGUCCAAUUGUCUCGGAAUCAAGAGAACGCCAACCCGGAUGAAGGGGAUGAGCCUCCAAAGUCAGCCAGACCCAACAACGAGGUACCCGAUGCUCCUCAUACAACUACACCGUGUACAAAGGGGGCGUAGGGUAACCGGCGGAGUUAAGCACUUCCCACAAGAUGGAAGGAAAGCCAUCGCGAGAAAGGAAGUCAGAACUGAAACGAGUGUCUCCUCCACUGGCGGGGGUGGGUGAAUUCAUCUGCGGAAGGGAACCAAAGGUAAAGAUUAUGGUGGAAGGAAAAAAAAGAAAGAGAGCCCGGAUGGUUUUUAAAGGAAGUGGGUUAGCUCAAGUUUUAAUUCCUCUUUGUGUUUAUAAUGCAUGCAUGCUGAAAGUAACUCCUCCUCUCCGAAUAUAAGGUGCUUUAAGGCAUCCUUUAAAAAUCUAAGUACUGGCCCACAGGGCCUACUUAAUUAGCCACCUAUUUCUCCCACUAUCCCUAAGGCCUUUCGUCCUAGGUCUAGCGGUCUAGUCCUGACGAUUCUUAGCAGUUUCUAAGCAAGUUUUUAGAUUUUGAAAAUUGGUAUUCAUGGUUUAUUGUCCUUCGCUGUGGUGGAAUUUGCUCCGAUACCAGCUGUGGCAGAACCACCCGAAUUAUUCCAGCUUAAGUGCCUAAGUCACGCCUCAGGGGCCGUAACACACUUAAAUCGGAAUAACCCGUCAGUCCCUCAGAUCUAGUCUGAUAGAGCCACUUAACCAGGAUCAAAUUCCACAAUCUCACUCGAAGGUGAGUCACAGAAGAAAUACAAUAAAAUAGGAAACCUCAAAUUAAGUGCUGAAUUAUUACAUAGAUCGGAGUUUUUGAGUAGCAAAUAAGAGUUCACGAAAUAAAAUGCAGCGGAUAAUCGAUGUCGUCGGUAUUGAGGAAAUGGGUAAGGCCUAGCCCACUACUCCUCAUGCUCCUCUCCUGCCGGAGCAACAUCCCACUCGACCGUCCAACCUGGUGGCAGGGUGGUAGUCCAAGUCACACCAUCAACCAUAUCGUGAAGUGCACCUGCAAAAAUUAUGCCACAAGCAAGGCUGAGUAUACUAAUACUCAGCUAGACUUACCCGGUGUGAGAAAACUACUCCUCUACCUCUAGACUAUGCAGCUGUUUGGCUGAGGGGUUUGGUUUGCCAAAAGCACUAGCUGUUUCUAAAAUCAAUUUUUAGCUUUUCAAGUUCUAGCAUCAUCAUCUUAGCUAGGUUUGCUCCUUCUAAGCAUACAUGGUGUCAAGCAUUUAGUUCAAUCAACAAAUUGUCUCAUGUAACCUCAUUUCACUUCUUACUCGAUGCAGUACAAGGGGUCAAGCAGUCUCAUUAGCUGCGAGAAGCAGAUGAUUCGAAUCGAGUUUUAUCCUUGCAAGGUAAACCUAAACACACGACAUGUCAGGGUACUUCGACCCCACACAUGUCAACCGUCCCUAUCGAUUCCCCUUUCGCGUCGAGGCCUCACCGCCUUGGCAUACAAUGCUCCACUGACCCCGGCUGCCGCCGUGCAGUGACCGCACUUGUACCCACCAUAGCUAGCAUGGGAGACCCAGUCUCAGGUCACAUGAGGGAUAAAUUCCACGCCCGGCUUCACUCAGGUACUAGGUUUAUCAGUUACCAUUUUUCCCGACAUGUGCUUAGUACGUUCAAACGCUUGACUCAGGUAUCCACACAUUAAUCCUUAAUUCCUUUUUCCUGUCUCAUGGUCAAGGCAUCCUCCCUGGAUCCAAGUCCAUAGACUAACAUAGAUCAUGUUAUCAAGAUGAAUACAAUCAAUUCCUGACCUCACGAGUGCUAGAAAAAUCACUCGACUUCUACCGAGAUCCUGAUUAGCAAGCAGCUACUCGACCUAGCAUACUAGUAUUCAUCUCAAAAAGGAUUCCUAAGUUCAUGCACUAGAGGUUUCAAGCAACUCCUACACUUAAGUGCACAUUACAAUCCUACAAGCAUUAAGUGUAGUAAAGUAGCAUAUAAUAAUACAGUUAUGCAUAUAAACCGGGGCUUGCCUUCAAUAGCUUGGGCUACAGGGAGAUCCUCGAUAGCAGCCUCGGAAGCUUGCUCCUGGUCCUCUUCUUGGACAGUUCCUUGCCCGGGGAUAAGCACGUACUCUCCGUCGGCGAGAUUAUAAUCUAAUGAAUGCAAUGUGUAAGAUAUAUGCAUGAUAUGAUAUGUGCUUUAGUAAUUUAAACUUUUGAUGGUGUAUGAUCUACUUGAGUUAGAUAGAGCUAAGUCUUGCUUAUACGAGACUUUUGGGUGGUAUACUAGGUAAAUUGGAUCAAUCUUAGCUAAGGUAAGUGGUAGGUUUAUUUUUGGGGUUCCACUGAAUUCUUUUUAAAGUCUUAGUGAGAAUUGACAAGAAUUCAAGUUGGACUUAUUGGAGUGAGGUUUAUUUCUUCUUUCUUUUUCUUUAUUCCCCUUAAGUUUUUGGAGUGGGUUUGAACUACAAGUUGCCUUAAUAAAUUUCCAAAAAUUCUGUAACAAUUACAGUGGCUUAUUACUGGCGUAUAGUUCUCUGUCUCAAAAUUUGGGGUUCAGAAAGUGAAUAGUUUUCUCUGGACAAAAUUACCAAAUUUUAGGACAGAGGGGGUGAUUUGAACUACAACUACCAUAUAAUAGUAGGUAAUUAUCUAAAACUUAUUUUUGCUGGCAUUUAGGUGCUAUAACAUGACGUGGCACAAAAUUCUAGCCAUUAAUACGUAUUAGUUAUUUUACUAGGAUUUUCUAAAAUUUCUAGCCAAAGGGGUGCUUUCUACUACCACUAUAUUUGAAAAAUAUCAAACAACAGAUCUCUGAUUUUUCCUAGCUUCUAUUUUGCGCAAGAGCAAUCAUUCUGAAGUUUGGCAUCUUUUUGCUUAAGGGAAGGGGUGGUAUGCAUUAUUUGGAUUAAAUGGCCUUUCUUAUAAAAUAUUGGCAGUAGGUAUUUUUUUGCAUCCUUCUAAUGGGUUUGCAUUUUUCUCUAGUGGCCUUUGUCAUCAUUGACCUAGCAAAAUUUUAUUUGCCCAUUAUUGCAUUAUUAUGGGUUAUUCAUGAUUUAUUUGGAAUAUGACUCAUUAUCAUAUUAUAUUUAUUUACCCUAUUUAAAAUGAUGGGCUGGGGUGUUUAUUAUUUUUACAGUGGGGUUUUGGUAGUUACAAGUCCACUGGAUUUUUAUUAUCAAUUUUGGGUCUGGUUUUGUAAUUCUAAUAAUUGAUUUCUAGUUGGGAAAAUGCUAAAUAAAACAUUUCACUUUAAAACUGAUCUGGACUAGAGAUCCCUUUAUUUUUCCUAGGUUCUCUGUUAUUUAAGCAAACUAGGAAAAAUAAUUUCACUCACUGUUCAUUAAUUUCUAAUUCCUUUCUGAUUUUCUUAAGUUUUGGGUAGAAAUGGCUUUUAAUGGAUAUCUACACUCAAUUUUUCAAUACUGGGGUUCUAACUAUUUUUAAACAGUGCUUAAAUGAGGUUUGAACAUCUACAAAUUUUCUCAGGUUCAGCAUAGAAACAAAACUAAUUUUUCUUAAUUAACCAAGGUUUGGUCAGUUUCUGUUUUUAGUUUUAAACUUUAAAAAUUAGAACAGAAAGCAUAGAGUUCAUUAUUUUUAAAUGAUAGUUCAUAUUAUUCAGGAUCUAGCAAAAUUAGGUUGACAACUUUUGGUUAAGAAUUCAUCAAGUUAUGAAUUUUCUAAGUUCUCUGUUUAUUAAAAAGAUUAAACAGAAAUGAUUAAAUAGAAAACUACUUUGCAACGGGGUCCCUGGCGGGUGUUUUAAGUUUUCCUUACAGACUAGUCCCUGGGCUACUAUUCAAAUGAGUCACUGACAUCUCAGAAAACCCCCAAAUUCUUCUAAUCCUAACCCGAGGUCCUUCCCCCAAUUUAAACAGUACCCGCGGCGGAAGAAAGGGCGGAGGGGCUUACCGGCGACGAGAUUUCUCCGGUGAGGUGGCCGAGGGUGUAGGAGAGGUCCUGAGGGUCACGACGAUGUGCGGGUCGCCGUCGGGGAUGGUCGGAGUCGGCCGGUCCGCGUGCGCAGGCGGGGGAGCUCGGCGGCGGCGAGGAGUCCGGCCUAUCCAGGGCGAAAUUGACCAAUCAAACGGGUCAGAGAGCUUCACCAGGGAUCAAGGAAGGGGUGUGCGCGAGGAAUUGAAGAAUGGCUCACCGGAGUGCCCAGUCUACGCGUGCAGGCGGGCGGCCGAAGUAUGGUGAGGUCGAUCUUCGCCUUUCGGUGAAGUUCUGCCAGGUCCGAGGGCUUGGAAAGCUUCACGGGCCUAUGGCGGAGCUAACCGAAGCGCUGGCACGACUUGGGGGUGACUGGAGUGGGCUGGCCACGGUGGCCGAAGCUCUGGCGGCAAUGGCGGGCGGAAAGGAGCUCGCCGGAGCUAAGGAGGGGUGUCUGGUCAGCGGUGGUGAGCGCGAGGUGAAGUGAGGCGCGCCCGGGGAGGUUUUAUAGGCGCGGGCGAGCACGGCCGAGGGCGGGGCUCUAACAAGCGCUCGGGGCGUGCGCGGCGAACGCCAGUGCGCGCUCUGGCGUCUGGCACAACAUCGAGCACGAGGCAGCGCAGAGAGAGGUCGAGUUCAAGCACGGAUUGGCCCCAAAUCUUUGAGAUUAUGGCCAUGAUCCCGUUGAGAGAUCUCUUCCUCUCAGGUUCCUUUGUCGUUUGUGUGUGGAGGCUAACAGGUUUUGCUGACUGGAUUAAGAGAUAGAGAGGGGAGAAAUCCUGUUUGUCUCACUGCCGCACACAGGGAGAAGAUCUCUGGUUUGACGUGUCCAAGGCAUGCGUCCCAAUGCCAUCUUCUGGCACAAGACAGAGAGGUUAGUUAUGGACGUUUUUGUUAAUGGGGCCAUUAGGAUUUGAGUUAGGGAUCAAGGUGAACACGCUUGAUCUUUGGCUCAAGGUCUGAAAUUCAGAAUUCUGAAUUUCAGAAUUCCCUAAUGAAAUCCCACUUGAGAGGCUUGUUUAGAGUUUUAUUUAAAUUGUUUCGGCCAAGCUUCCAAAAUCUUUGUUGUUGCUUAUUUAGCAUACUUUAAUGUUUAUAAUUGGCCCAAGCCAUGAUUCUAAAAUUUUCAUACUCUUUUCCCCAUUUUCUUGAAUUUUGUUUAUAGGGCUCAAUUAGGGUUUUUGUUGGGGUUGCACAUUUUGCCUUUUUGAAAAACCCAUUUGUUUUGAACAUGAUACUUUUAAGUAUAAGCUUAGUGGGUUCUUUAUUCUUAAAUCAACUUGAUGUUCAUGCUAAAUUUUGAUUCACAUAAGAUGAUGGUUCUUGGGUUAGCACUUGAGAGAAACCCUAGGUGACACUGGGGUGUCACACACUAGUUCUCUUGUUACUGCUCAAUUAUUUAAUGAAUGUAGAUACAUGAGUUUAGAAUUUGUCAACCCUUGACUGAUAAGUGUUGUUAGUAUUGUUUGUCAUGAAUUUGGUUUGUUUGGUCAAAGUGGUGACGUGGAGCAUAGGUUUGAGGUAUAAAUGAUGUGAAGAAUAUGAAUUGUAGGCAGGGUGUGAUUCGAUUAAAAAUACUCUAUCUGCUAAGUCAUAAAAUAAUGUGAUAUCGAUAUCUAGUAUUUUCGUACUAGAUUUGCGAUGUCUUGCUAUAGGUGUUUAAUUCGCUAUCGUGUAGCACUAUUUAGGUUUGUGAUAUUCCUGUCUAUAUGCAUUCAUGUGCAUUAUGCAUUUCAUUCAGGUACGUGAAUUAACUACGUGAUGCGGAGAACCAGAACUGAGUCGACCACAAGAUAUCGCUACACGUAAGCUUCUCUAGAAGAUGAAGCUGAUGGACUAAUCUGAAGAUGGAUGGACGAAGCAAGUAUCAGAAUAAAGGCUGAUCGCCAAGUGGUCGUCACCUAACAAACACUAACGUAGUGUUUAUCCAGGCAAGCCCCGGUGCAUUUGCCACCUCCUUGUUGUUUUAAAAUCUUUAUCACCUUGUUUGAUGCAUUAGGUGAUAGGAGUUGUGUGCUAAACCGUUGAUGCAUUUCCUUCCUUGGAAAAUUGAUUACCCUUCCUUGAUACCCUUUUUGAAAAGAAUUUUAUGAUGCUUAGCCUUGCUUUAGCAAACAAAAAUGUUUUGUUUUAAAACAAAAGUGAUGCUUCAGUGGGUGGGAAUGUUUUCAAAAAGCAAAUACUUAUGAUGGUGAAUCCGUCAAAGGCCUUGAUGGGUUCAACAUCGGAAAAGAUGUACCUCUGCCAGGUACCAAACUUUGGGGUUUAAAUGAUUAAAACGAGAUCGGGCGGGUGGCUUGCACGAGAAGGAAGUCUCGGUGUAGUGCCUCCGUCUGAGUCGAUUAAGGACCGUGUCGAUGUAGGCUUGAUGAUUUAGGACCUUUUAACUGGUCACAUGCCUCAUCAUGUGUAAGCUUUGCCUCGGGCAGACUAAUGUCAGAAAGGCCAACACGCAAUGGGAGUGGAGAGAUGGCGAGAGUAGUGUGUACCCUUCGUGGCAAGAGGCUGGACGGUGGUGUAUCUGUGCUCUCGGUUGGCGUGAACCCGGUCUGGUCUUAAGAACCCCGAUGGUGAGUUGACACAUGCAAGGGUUAAGUGCUACAUAUGUCGUGUGAUUGGAGAUCCCCAGCUGGGUAUUAAUCGAUUUGGAUCGCCGUUACUUCUCGGAUAUGAAGACUUGGUCACUGCCCUACACGUAGCAAUCCAGUGAACUGAAGGGAUAAUAAAAGACGGCUAGUAUAGGCCAAGUGCUUGAACUAGGGUAGAAAGAACUGUAGAUGCAGGUAACUUUACUUAACUUGACAAGUAAAAAUGGAUUUUUAAGGAUCCACUCAUAGUAAGCUUUUCUCCAAACAAAGUCCUUGAUUCUUGAUAAGCCUUACCUUGAAUCCCUUUUUGAAACCAGCAUACCCUUGAGAGUCUUUUCUUUAGUCGGGUAAGUCUUGCUGAGUACUUGCGUACUUAAGGUUUUAUUCCCAUUGUUGUUGCAGGUUACGAAUAACUUGAUUGUGAUUGGUGUUAAGCGCCGGUGGGCAUGACCUUCUAUAAGUCUAAGUACUUCUUCUAUACUUCUUAUUGAGGAUGGUCACUUAAGCUAGCAUAUAUUUCAAACUUAUAAAUAAUUUGUAACAUUUCAAAGUUAUCACUUUGAACCACUUUUGUAACCACUCCGAUAAAUAUAAUGUAAAUUUGUUGUAACUUGUAAAAUUUGGUAAUAAGAUUUCCGCUGCAAAUUGUUGGUGUGUGAUUUGUAUUUACUUAAUCCUGCGGUCCUGGUUGUAAGUGGUUUAUCCGAGGUCCUUAGGGCACUGGGACAGAUCCUGUUAAGUUAUCUGGUGCACAUGUAUAGCCGUUUGAGCUCUUUGAGACAAGGGUAGGUGCAUGUGGGCCUAAUAACUUGGGAGGUUCUGCCACAGCUGGUAUCGGAGCAGGAUUAAGUAUAAUACUGUCACAUACAUAUUUUCAAAACAAAGUUUUGGUUUUGGAAAACAUAUUUUCAACUAAACACUUUGUUUGGUUUUGAAAAACUACAGAUUUGAAAACUAUAAUGCUAGCGACAUCCUCUAUUAAGCCCUAAAUUAAAGACUGCCAGGUGUCUUAGUUCAAAUCCACUAACCCACAACCGGGGUAUUGCAUACAUGUGUAUUGUUAUUUUUGAGGCCAUUCAGUUCUGGAUGGAUCGACGCUCAGGUAAGGUGAGAUGUGAGAGCAUGACCGAACAAACGUCGGUCUAGGGAAGAGUAUAAAAAGUGCUUGAUUAUAUACAUGUUCUACAUGUAUAUAUGAAGGCUGCGAUGUGGAGUAUUUACUUUUCUGGAAUUCAGUACCCCAUGGAUGUGUAUGGGUAUACAAACAUGGGAAUACUGAGAAGUGUAAUGUAGUUGCAAUGACACACCUACGCUCAGGUAAGAAGGUGAUUUACCAUAAUGAGCUGCCCUAUGGUUAAAGUGUGGUAGCGGCACCUAUGCAUGACUCGGUGCUUAAUGAUGAGCUGGCCUCUAUAUAGCAAUAUAUGGAGUAUAAACUGUGAUAAACUGUCAUGUGUGAAUUGCAUCAUUGGGAAAUGGGUUGUGAUGGAUUUUUCUGUAGGUACACUAACUUCAAAAAUGUAUGUGUAGCUGACGACUAGCAAAAUACCGAGAGAGUCGUAAGUCCGCCACCGAUAUAGAACGCUAUUGCCACAUUAUGUUGGCAAAAUCAGUGAGGAGGAAUAGGACAAGCAUGCAUCCUGAUUGUUGCAUUAUGUUUGUCACCUAUUGUCGGGGACCAUAAUUAGGGGUACCCCCAAGACUCCUAAAUCUCAGCUGGUAACCCCCAUCAGCACAAAGCUGCAAAGGCCUGAUGGGCGCGAUUCCGGUCAAGGCUCCGUCCACCCAAGAGACACGAUCUCGUCACGCCCGAGCCCAGCCUCGGGCAGGAACAGUAGACCAAGGCAGAUUUACGCCUCGCCCGAGGGUCUCCUCAAGCAGUGGGCGCACGCUCGACUCGCCCGAGGCCCAGCUCGGGCAGGCUUCGCGGAGAAUCAACCUUGGCCGGAUCGCUACGCCAACCGACCGUAUCGCAGGAGCAUUCAAUGCAAGGAUCGCCUGACACCUGAUCCUGACGCGCGCUCCUCAGUCGAUAGAGCCAAAGUGACCGCAGUCACUUCGCCGCUCCACUGACCGACCUGACAGGAAAACAGCGCCGCUUGCCCCGCUCCGACUGCUGUGCCACUUGACAGAGUGAGGCUGGCAGCAGCUAAGUCCAGCCUCGGGCACCAUAGGAAGCUCCGCCUCGCCCGACCCCAGGGCUCGGACUCAGCCUCGACCUCGGAAGACGGACUCCGCCUCGCCCGACCCCAGGGCUCGGACUCAGCCUCGACCUCAGAAGACGGACUCCGCCUCGCCCGACCCCAGGGCUCGGACUCAGCCUCGACCUCGGAAGACGGACUCCGCCUCGCCCGACCCUAGGGCUCGGACUCAGCCUCGACCUCGGACGACGAUCUUCGCCUCGCCCGACCCCAGGGCUCGGACUCAGCCUCGACCUCGGAAGACGGUCUCCGCCUCGCCCGACCCCUGGGCUCGGACUUAACCUCGACCUCGGAGGAGUCACCGCCUCGCCCGACCUCGGGCUCGGACCGACCACGUCACAGGGGGCCAUCAUUACCGUACCCCUAGCUAGCUCAGGCUAUGGGGAACAAGAUCGACGUCCCAUCUGGCUCGCCCCGAUAAACAAGUAAUGAUGGCACCCCGCGUGCUCCAUGACGACGCCGGCUCUCAGCCCCUUACGGAAGCAAGGAGACGUCAGCAAGGAUCCAACAGCCCCGACAGCUGUACUUCCACAGGGCUCAAGCACUCCUCCGACGGCCACGACAUCACAUGAACAGGGCGCCAAAACCUCUCCGACAGCCACGACGGCAUGUACUUAGGGCUCUGGCUCCUCUCUGCUAGACAUGUUAGCACACUGCUACACCCCCCAUUGUACACCUGGGCCCUCUCCUUACGCCUAUAAAAGGAAGGUCCAGGGCUCUCGUAUGAGGGGGUUGGCCGCGCGGGAGAACGGGCCGACGCAUAAGGCUCUCGCUCUCGCUCUCUCCCACGCGAACACUUGUAACCCCCUACUGCAAGUGCAUCCGCCCUAGGCGCAGGACAACACGAAGGCCGCGGGUUCCCAUAUGCUGUCUUUCCCCCCUUUGUGUUCCGUCUCGCGCCGACCCAUCUGGGCUAGGACACGCAGCGACAAUUUACUCGUCGGUCCAGGGACCCCCCGGGUCGAAACGCUGACAGUUGGCACGCCAGGUAGGGGCAUGCUGCGUGUUGACGAACAGCUUCCUGUCAAGCUCCAGAUGGGUAGUCUCCAGCAACCUCUUCAACCCGGGACGAUGCUCCAUUUUGGGAGUCUUGAGUUCAUGUCCCUCGAUGGCAGCUACGACAUGAUACUCCUUCCUCCGUCGUGCGACAACGACAAUGACGGCCGUUAGCCCGCUCGCCGGUGGCGGAAUCGACGACGUCUUCCCCAUGUGGCGGAAGAGCGACAUCCGGGUCUGUCCCGUCACCUUCCCCGCCGACGGAGGAGGAGACAGGGCAGGCAUGGCCAAGCAGGAGGCGGCACCUCAUCGGCUGUCGAGCGAGUCAACGGCGUCGGCGCCCCAACGGGGGAUACGUCGGGCGUUGACCUCGCGUCUGAGACGAAGACGAGCGUAGUUUCCCCGCAACACGCCAACCCCAAGCAGACGGACGACGCCAGCACGCUCGCGAAGGACUUGCUAGGCGUUAGCCUCGUACCUGAGACAACGGUGCAGUCCGUCCCCGACGCGACUUCGUCACCGCCCGUCGAUCAAGAGGUAUCGUCCGUUUCCCGUUCCAUGCCUUUUAGGUUUAGCUGUGACCCACCAAGCGACCCCGCUUCGGUGGACGCUUUCAUAAAGGCAUGUCCAAACCCUCCGGGGUAUCAUAUGCGGUCACCCUAGGACCGGCUGACGGCCGUCUCGACCUACGGGUCCCUGGGUUCCGAGGAAGAUGACGAGCCCGACUCUGGUUGGGAUUUCUCCGGGCUCGAUAACCCCAGUGCCAUGCGAGACUUCAUGACCACAUGUGACUACUGCCUCUCCGAUUGCUCCGAUAGUAGCCACAGCCUCAGCGACGAGAACUGUGGCCCAAGUCACGAAUGCUUCCACGUCUAUCUAGGAGGUCUCGACGAAGGCAACCAUCUUGGUAUGCCGGAGGACAGUGAUCCCCCUAGGCCUGCGCCUCGCGUUGACAUCCUUCGGGAGCUAGCUGUGGUCCCAGCCCUUGCGGGGGGUCAGGACGCACAGCUCGAGCAAAUCCGCGAGAUGUAGGCCAGGCUCGACGAGGAAGCAGGACAACUUGUGCAGCUCCGGCAGACUAUCGGGCAGGAGGGGGCAGGCCGAGCACCAGCCGGAGAAGUGCGUCAUCUGGCCCAGGACGUCCAGCACCGCAUCGCCGACGAUGCCAGGGCGAGGCUGCCCCCGGCUUCCAGUGGGGUCGGCCAGAACCUGGCUGCAGCAGCGAUACUACUCCGAGCGAUGCCAGAACCAUCCACCACCGAGGGGCGGUGUAUCCAGGGAGAGCUCAAGAAUCUCCUGGAAGAUGCCGCGGUCCGACGGGCCAAGAGCUCUGCCUCCCGAAGGCAGGGGUACCCCCCGGAGCAUCGCGCCGCGACUUCCCGAUUCACGCGGGAAGCCUCGGUCCACACCGGGCGCACGCGGAACACGGUACCUGCGGCCCCGGGUCGCCUCAGCAACGAGCACCACCGCCGCGACCGUCGAGCCCACCUCGAAGAGAAGGUGCGCCGAGGCUACCACCCCAGGCGUGGGGGACGCUACGACAGCGGGGAGGAUCGGAGCCCCUCGCCUGAACCACCCGGUCCGCAAGCUUUCAGCCGGGCCAUACGACGGGCGCCGUUCCCGACCUGGUUCCGAACCCCAACUACCAUCACCAUGUACUCGGGGGAGUCAAAGCCGGAACUGUGGCUCGCGGACUACUGGCUGGCCUGCCAGCUGGGUGGGACGGACGAUGACAACCUCAUCAUCCGCAACCUUCCCCUGUUCCUCUCCGACGCCGCCCGAGCCUGGCUGGAGCAUCUGCCUCCUGCGCAGAUCUCCAACUGGGACGACCUGGUCAAAGCCUUCGCCGGCAACUUCCAGGGCACAUACGUGCGCCCUGGAAUCUCCGAAGCUACCGCCAGCAGCCGGGAGAGUCCCUGUGGGACUACAUCCGGCGAUUUUCGAAGCAGCGCACCGAGCUGCCCAACAUCACCGACUCAGAUGUCAUCGGCGCGUUCCUCGCUGGCACCACUUGCCGCGACCUGGUGAGCAAGCUGGGUCGCAAGACCCCCACCAGGGUGAGCGAGCUGAUGGACAUCGCCACCAAGUUUGCCUCUGGUCAGGAGGCGGUCGAGGCCAUCUUCCGGAAGGACAAGCAGCCUCAGGGGCGCCAGUCGGAAGACGUCCCCGAGGCGUCCGCUCAGCGCGGCGCGAGGAAGAAGGGCAAGAAGAAGUCGCAAGCGAAACGCGACGCCGCCGACGCGGACCUUGUCGCCGCCGCCGAGCAUAGGAACCCUCGGAAGCCUCCCGGAGGCGCCAACCUGUUCAACAAGAUGCUCAAGGAGUCGUGCCCCUAUCAUCACGGUCCCGUCAAGCACACCCUUGAGGAGUGCGUCAUGCUUCGGCGCUACUUCGCAAAGGCCGGGCCACCGACGAAAGGUGGCAGAGCCCACAACAACGACAAGAAGGAGGAUCACAAGGCAGAGGAGUUCCCCAAGGUCCACGACUGCUUCAUGAUCUAUGGUGGGCAUGUGGCGAACGCCUCAGCUCGGCACCGCAAGCAAGAGCACCGGGAGGUCUGCUCGGUAAAGGUGGCGGCGCCAGUCUACCUAGACUGGUCCGACAAGCCCAUCACCUUCGACCAGGGCGACCACCCCGACCGCGUGCCGAGCCCAGGAAAGUACCCGCUCAUUGUCGAUCCCGUCAUCGGCAACAUCAGGCUUACCAAGGUCCUCAUGGACGGAGGCAGCAGCCUCAACAUUGUCUACGCCGAGACCCUCGGGCUUCUGCAGAUCGAUCUGUCCUCGAUCCGGGCCGGCGCGGCGCCCUUUCACAGGAUCAUCUCUGGGAAACGCGUCCAACCCCUUGGGCAACUCGAUCUGCCCGUCUGCUUCGGAACUCCCUCCAACUUCCGAAAGGAAACCCUCACGUUCGAGGUGGUCGGGUUCCGAGGAACCUACCACGCAGUGCUGGGGAGACCAUGCUACGCUAAGUUCAUGGCCGUCCCCAACUACACCUACCUCAAGCUCAAGAUGUUGGGCCCCAACGGGGUCAUCACCGUUGGCUCCACGUACCGACACGCGUACGAAUGUGACGUGGAGUGCGUGGAGUACGCCGAGGCCCUCGCCAAAUCCGAGGCCCUCAUCGCCGACAUGGAGAGCCUCUCCAAGGAGGCGCCAGAUGCGAAGCACCACGCCGGCAACUUCGAGCCAGCUGAGACAGUUAAGUCCGUCCCUCUCGACCCCAGCAAUGACGCCUCCAAGCAGAUCCGGAUCGGCUCCGAGCUCGACCCCAAAUAGGAAGCAGUGCUUGUCGACUUUCUCCGCGCGAACGCCAAAGUUUUUGCGUGGAGUCCCUUGGACAUGCCUGGCAUACCGAGGGAUGUCGCCGAGCACUCGCUGGAUAUCCGAGCUGGAGCCCGACCCGUGAAGCAGCCUCUGCAUCGAUUUGACGAAGAAAAGCGCAAAGCCAUAGGCGAGGAGAUCCACAAGCUGAUGGCUGCAGGGUUCAUCAAAGAGAUAUUCCAUCCCGAAUGGCUUGCCAACCCUGUGCUUGUGAGAAAUAAAGGAGGGAAAUGGCAGAUGUGUGUAGACUACACUGGUCUAAACAAAGCAUGUCCGAAGGUUCCCUACCCUCUGCCUCGCAUCGAUCAAAUUGUGGAUUCCACUGCUGGGUGUGAAACCCUGUCUUUCCUCGAUGCCUACUCAGGGUAUCACCAAAUCAGGAUGAAGGAGUCCGACUAGCUCGCGACUUCUUUCAUCACACCCUUUGGCAUGUACUGCUACGUUACCAUGCCAUUCGGUUUGAGGAAUGCGGGUGCGACAUACCAAAGGUGCAUGAACCACGUGUUCGGAGAACACAUUGGUCGAACGGUCGAGGCUUACGUCGAUGACAUCGUAGUCAAGACGAGGAAAGCCUCCGACCUCCUCUCCGACCUUGAAAUGACAUUCCGGUGUCUCAAGGCGAAAGGCGUAAAACUCAAUCCUGAGAAGUGUGUCUUCGGAGUCCCCCGAGGCAUGCUCCUGGGGUUCAUCGUCUCCGAGCAGGGCAUCAAGGCCAACCCGGAGAAAAUCGCGACCAUCACCAACAUGGGGCCCAUCAAGGACCUGAAAGGAGUACAGAGGGUCAUGGUAUGCGUUGCGGCCCUGAGCCAUUUCAUCUCGUGCCUCGGCGAAAGAGGCCUACCUCUGUACCGCCUCUUGAGGAAGACCAAGUGCUUUACUUGGACCCCCGAGGCCGAGGAAGCCCUCGGGAACCUAAAGGCGCUCCUUACAAGCGCGCCCAUCUUGGUGCCCCCCGCUGCCGGAGAAGCCCUCUUGGUCUACGUCGCCGCUACCACUCAGGUGGUCUGCACCGCGAUCGUGGUUGAGAGACGAGAAGAGGGGCACGCAUUGCCCGUCCAGAAGCCGGUCUACUUCAUCAGUGAAGUAUUGUCCGAGACCAAAAUCCGCUACCCGCAAAUUCAGAAGCUACUGUACGCAGUAAUUCUGACGCGGCGAAAAUUGCGACACUACUUCGAGGCUCAUCCGGUGACUGUGGUGUCAUCCUUCCCCCUGGGGAGAUCAUCCAGUGCCAAGAGGCCUCGGGUAGGAUUGCAAAGUGGGCAGUGGAGAUCAUGGGCGAGGCAAUCUCGUUUGCCCCUCGGAAGGCCAUCAAGUCCCAAGUCUUGGCGAACUUUGUGGCUGAAUGGGUCGACACCCAGCUUCCAGCAGCUCCGAUCCAACUGGAACUCUGGACCAUGUUUUUCGAUGGGUCGUUGAUGAAAACAGGAGCGGGCGUGGGCCUGCUCUUCAUCUCACCCCUCGGGAAGCACCUCCGCUACGUGCUGCACCUCCAUUUCCCGGCGUCCAACAACGUGGCCGACUACGUGGCUCUGGUUAACGGGUUGCGCAUCGCCAUCGACCUAGGGGUCCGACGCCUCGACGCUCGUGGCGACUUGCAGCUUGUCAUCGACCAAGUCAUGAAGAACUCCCAUUGCCGCGACCCAAAGAUGGAAGCCUACUACGAUGAGGUUCGGCGUCUGGAGGACAAGUUCUUCGGGCUCGAACUCAACCACAUCGCCCGACGAUACAACUAGACUGCGGACGAGCUGGCUAAGAUAGCCUCGGGGCAGACAACAGUCCCUCCCGACGUCUUCUCUCGAGACCUACAUCAACCCUCAAUCAAGACCGACGACACGCCUGAGCCCGAGAAGGUCUCGACCCUGCCCGAGGCGCCCUCGGCUCAGCCUGAGGCGCCCUCGGCCCCCGAGGGUGAGGCACUGUGCGUCGAGGAAGAGUGGAAUGGGGUCACACCUAAUCGAAACUGGAAGACCCCGUACCUGCAAUAUCUCCACCGAGGAGAGCUACCCCUCGACAGAGCCGAAGCUUGGCGACUGGCGUGGCGCGCCAAGUCGUUCGUCUUGCUGGGUGACGGGAAGAAGCUCUACCACCGCAGCCCCUCAGGCAUCCUCCAGCGAUGCAUAUCCAUCGCCGAAGGUCAGGAGUUAUUACAAGAAAUACACUCGGGGGCUUGCGGUCACCACGCAGCACCUCGAGCCCUUGUUGGAAACGCCUUCCGACAGGGUUUCUACUGGCCAACCGCGGUGGCCGAUGCCACUAGGAUUGUACGCACCUGCCAAGGGUGUCAAUUCUAUGCAAAGCAGACCCACCUGCCCGCUCAGGCUCUGCAAACUAUACCCAUCACCUGGUCGUUUGCUGUGUGGGGUUUAGACCUCGUCGGUCCCUUGCAGAAGGCACCCGGGGGCUACACGCACCUGCUGGUCGCUAUCGACAAAUUCUCCAAGUGGAUCGAGGUCCGACCCCUAAACAGCAUCAGGUCCGAACAGGCGGUGGCGUUCUUCACCAACAUCAUCCAUCGCUUUGGGUCCCGAACUCCAUCAUCACCGACAACGGCACCCAGUUCACCGACAGAAAGUUCCUGGACUUCUGCGAGGAUCACCACAUCCGGGUGGACUGGGCCGCCGUAGCUCACCCCAUGACGAAUGGGCAAGUAGAGUGUGCCAACGACAUGAUUCUGCAAGGACUCAAGCCGCGGAUCUACAACGACCUCAACAAGUUCGGCAGGCGCUGGAUGAAGGAACUCCCCUCGGUGGUCUGGAGUCUAAGAACAACGCCAAGCCGAGCCACGGGCUUCACGCCGUUCUUUCUAGUCUAUGGGGCCGAGGCUAUCUUGCCCACAGACUUAGGAUACGGAUCCCCGAGGACGAAGGUCUACGACGACCGAAGCAAUCGAACCAACCGAGAAGACUCACUGGACCAGCUGGAAGAGGCUCGGGACAUGGCCUUACUACACUCGGCGCGGUAUCAGCAGUCCCUGCGACGCUACCACGCCCGAGGGGUUCGAUCCCGAGACCUCCAGGUGGGCGACUUGGUGCUUCGGCUACGACAAGACGCCCGAGGGCGUCACAAGCUCAUGCCUCCCUGGGAAGGGCCAUUCAUCAUCGCCAAGAUUUUGAAGCCCGGAACAUACAAGCUGGCCAACAGUCAAGGCGAGGUCUACAGCAACGCUUGGAACAUCCGACAGCUACGUCGCUUCUACCCUUAAGAUGUUUUCAAGUCAUUCAUACACCUCGUUUACAUACGCCAACAAAGUCUAACCAUCAAGGAAGGGUCAGCCUUGCCUCGGCAAAGCCCGACCCUCCCUCGGGGGCUAGAAGGGGGGCACCCCCUCUGCGUCAAAAUUUUACUCAGAAAAAGUCUUUCUGCCAGAACAUCUUUCGUGCUUUUCGACUACUUCGAAAGUGGGAUCCUGAAAACGACGGAGUACACGUAAGCAGGCAAGGCCGACCGAGCCGAGGGACUCCUACGCCUCCAGGAUACAGAUACCUCACUCAUCACCUUCUGCGAUAAGUAACUCACGCUCGGAUAAGCGAUUCUGCUGACCGAACAAGUCUUAAUGCUCGAAAACUUUUCUGCCGAAAUGAUUUUUCGUGCCUUCUCGACUAUAUCGAUAACAGAAUCCUACGGAUGAGUAAGAGUACAUGUAAGCGGCAAGUCCGACUGAGCCGAGGGACUCCUACGCCUCCGAGAUACGGAUACCUCACUCAUCACCUUCCGUGAAAAGUAACUCUCGCUCGGACAAACAAUUCUGUUACCGACAAAUAAGUCCUGAUACUCGAAACAAGGGGAAAAGAAACACAGCUUUACAACACGACGACGAUAUGUUUGGGCCUCGGCGGCCGCGAAAAACAUACACACACUACAGAUAAACUGUUCCUGCAGGAUCAGACAUCAGUGGGGGAGCAGCAGCACCCUCGGCGUCGACUCCACCUUCGGCGGAAUCUGACCCGGCCUCGGACGGCAACACGGUCGGAGGAUCUCCACCUCGAAGGAACCUGUCGGCACCACGCCUGGGCCAUCGCCGCUAGGGUCUCCUCUGGGAACCCGGCCCGAGCAGACGGCUCGACCGGCCGCUCCGUAGCCUCAGCCAGCUGUCCCCCGAGGACAUCAGCCCGGCUCAUGGCCUCGACAACCCGACUCCGGCGCUGGUCCGGCCAGUGGACAGCACGGCCAGGCUCCGGCCGACGAAGCUUCUUUUCGAGCCAACUCUGCCUCUGUCCGUGCUGGCACCGUUGCCUUCGGCUCUGGCUCAUCGCAGAGCGGCCGAUGGUUUUUUUAACUAAGCAAGAGAAGCCUCGGGCGUCAAGGCCGACCGAGCCAAGGGACUCCUACGCCUCCGGGAUACGGAUACCUCACUCGUCACCUUCUGCACGAGGCAACUCACACUUGGUUAAGCGGUUCAGCUAGCCGACAGGCGAGUCCUAGUGCUCGAAAUGAGGAAAAAACACGGCUUCACGCCAAAAUACAUACAUGUUCAGGCCCCGACAACCGCAAUGAACAGACACCGGCACUCAAGGUGCCAUUACAAACAGAACUCCGGUUCCACUCCCGCGGGUAUGAACAACCUCCACAUCGGAGAGCCUGCAGGACGACAAACUCCUGGUGACUCGCCAGCGACCUCAGCAGCAGUAGCGAUGGUCCCAGGACGGACGCUGCCGCCGGAAGGCUCUUGUUCACGUCCCCACUCAAGGGACAAGAACCAGACAUUAAAGCCAAAGAGCCGAAGGUCGGUCCGCGGGUAGCGCUGACGGCUCGUCGGCGGAGAAGCUUUCUCCAGCUGCCACCACGUCAGCAACGACGGCGGCGUCCACCUGUCCACCAACACCGCACCAUCGAGCGCCGGCCGCCCCAAAGCGCACCGUCAGGUCCUCACUCCCGUCCUCGCCACGAAAGCGAGGACACAGGACGGAAUGCUGCACCCUGGCUGUGCAGCAACAGUUCGCCUUCCCUGGCAUGGCUGGAGGGCGCCUCCUCCGCAGAGCUGGAGGAUGGUUUCCACCCCAGAAGCUGGAAGAAGAGGUGGCCCGCCGACCCGUGCGGGAGGUAGAACUCCGGCUCAGCCCGCCCUCCGCCCCAGCAAGGAUGAUGAAGAUCCUUGAAGCUGAUGGCGGGGCAGAGGCCGCAGCCCGGCUUGCUUCUCCCCAUCAUCGAACUGGUGGUCACCGUCUUGGGUGACCACCGGCGAGGGGAUGUAGCCGGGCUGCCUGAUGAAAAUCCUUGAAGCCGAGCGAUGGCUGAAAGGUACCAACUUCCGCGAAGUUGCGUUCCUCCAACGACGACAAGACGAAAGCGAUGCGGGCGCUCCCCAUCCGGGGGCUCGGAAGGUGGAAGGGCGCGAUGCAUGAGGAGAGUACGAAGACAUGGUUGCCAUCCAAGGGGGUCACCCUCCUUUUAAAGGCGACUCUCCCCACUUGCGUCCUCAGCCGUCGCGGACUGAGUCUUCACCAACAUGCUCCAAGGUCUUCCCCCUACGCCACGGGGGCUGGGUCCCACGCGUCAUGCAAGCUGGCCUAGGACAGAAGAGGCCAAACCGCCGCGUGUGGUGCGCGUAACUACCAAGCGGUUACAAGCGCUCCUCCACUUUCGCCCAAGCCAGCGGGUGAAAGGGCAGACCGCCAUGCAGGCGGCACGCAACCGCACCAAGGGGCGCACCCUUUCGACUUUGACGCGUCCAGCAUGGGGGCCCAGGCCCACACGUCAUGUAACCAGCGCGCCGGUUACUACGUGCGAGAAACUGCACCGCCACUUGCUCCAGUACCGCGCCUUCUCGACUGCUGAAUUGGUGCCGUGACUCGAGGCGACCCUGAGCAUGGCCCAACAGUGCCAACCGCGCACAUCGGUCACGGGUCAGUCAGCCGCGGGAGAAGGCGCGACGGUCAAUAUGGCCAGAAAUGGGCUGGCAGUAAUGGCGGCGGCAGGCUGGCGGAAGCAGCAGUCAAGUCAUCUGCAAGCUCACGUCCACUCCUAGGACAGCGAGAGAACCCUCUCCCACGGCGUGAAGACGACGCGUCCGUGUUCCGUUCCUCGAAUGGCUCGCGCACGUGCAAUGGCUGCCCCGCGAAUCACUCGUCCCGUCGUAUUAACUUUGCGGCAGGGCAGGCGACACCUUUGGUAGGUGAAGCGGGCGACGCUUCACCUUCGCCAUAAUGACCGCGUCAAAAGGUGCGCCACGUCGUUUGAUUUUGUGUCCUUUUCCUCUUCCUCUUUCUCUCUCUUGCUACAGGGACCGGGAAAGGGGAUGCUCCAAAACGGAUCCUUCUCCGCGAAGGAAGCGGGCCCCGAGCCCUCCUACUGAUCAGAGGUUCAAAGGCUGGCCCCUCGGAAGGGUUUGACAGCCGCCUCAGAGCACUCGGGCUCCGCGCCCUCCUACUGAUCAGAGGUUCGAAGGCUGGCCCCUCGGAAGGGUUCGACAACCGCCUUAGAGCACUUGGGCCCCGCGCCCACUGCUGGUCAGAGGUUCGAAGGCUGGACCCUCGGAGGGGUUCGACAGCUGCCUCAGGCCACUCGGGCUCCGUGCCCACUACUGAUCAGGGGUUCGUAGGCUGGCCCCCGAAGGGUUCGACAGCCGCCUCAGAGCACGCAAAGCGAGGGAUGACUCUGGGUACGUCCGAUACAUGGCCGAGGCUCGGGCUACGCUCCCGAGGUACCCUAGGACAUUUCCGAGACCAGCAGGAGCGAUUCUGUAACGGAAUCCCAUCAGAGGGAGGCAUCGAGCCCUCGGACCCUAUCAAACGAGACCGGCUCCGGCAAAUCACCUGCAGGUACUUUUGGAGUGCGCCUCUGGGCCACUAGCCGACCCUUAUCGAAUGGGGCACGGGCGUCCACUCGGAUCACCCGUUAGCAACUCACUGGAGACACCAUGUUCGGCGCCCUCCGAGGGCAACAUGGCGCUUUCCCCCCUCCUUGCGGAAAGGCGACGCAGGGGCGUAUGAAAAAAGCCGAGUCUGUCCUUGACCUAACCUAGGAAAGACAUGUCCUAUCAUUUUUCUUGAGUUUGAUGCCUUUGGUUUCUUCAUAUCUAUCGAAGGCAUACCAACUUAAUCUUAUGAUUGUUUCCCCUCCGUACCUAAUCAUAUACUAAUCCUUGACCUUAUAAUCUCUAUGAUGGGCAUAGAAAUAUGCUUGGGGCUGAAUUACCAGUCUCCCAUCAUCCUCCUUUCAUCAAGUUUAGGUUAUGGCCAUACCUUGUUCAUUUCAUCGGGCCAUGAUCUAUUUGGCUCUCUACAUGUAAUCGUUUUGACAGGUAGAGUCUCUUUGUAUAUUAUCACCCUUGCCCAAUAUAUUGGUGUCGCGCGGGAUUUCUUAUUGGUUACGUCUAGUAAUGGUGUUAUGACUAAAACCGAUGGUGUCGUGACGAAACCGAGGGGCUCCUGUGAAUGUACACACAUGGUUGCGCUACUUGGCACACGCUAGUAUCACAGUUAGUAGUCAUAAUCCAUUAUGAGACUAUUCGAUAUGUUAUCUCUACACAAAUUGUUCUUACCACGUGAGAUUCAUUAUGGGUCAAUUUUGUAAUUAUGUCAUGGUUAAUGACUUAUGGUGCCACAGCGAAACUGAGAGCCUCCUAUGAAUGCGCACACAGGACUGUGCUACUCGUCGGAUGCUGGUAUCAAGGUCUCUGGUCAUGAUCCAUUAUGGAACUACCCUAAUAUGUUAUCUUCCGUAGAUCUCUUCCUUGAAACGAUUUCUAUGUUGUUUGUCGAGUGAUCAAGCAACAUCUAUCAUUUUCUGUUGGAUCAAAUGGGCAUACCACUUCCCAUGUGUGGUCUCUUUUUCCUUGACUUUGGUAGUGACUACACGUAUACAAGUUCCCUUUACGUCCUUUGUGUAAAGGUGAAGCCUUGGAGCUUUUUAGUGUUGAGAGACAACUGAUUAGCUCUCAAAAUGGAGAUUUGUUUCCCCUGCUGCUGAGAUGUAGGAGUUUGUUCAUUCGCUCUCUUAUUUAAUCCUUGUAUUUCCUAACCAAGUCAGUUCAUCUCGCAUGGAAGAAAUGGAUGAACAACCUGACUGAAUGGAUUUCUAUUCAAAUACAUGAUCUCUUGUUAACUAAGGUGAACUCUCGACCAUUGGAUUGCCGAUGGGUAAUGAGAAGGCUUACUCAAUAUCAAAAGUAGUUCAACAAGUUGGUUUUACUAACUUGUAACUGCCCAAUGAACAAAGAUUGAGUUUAGAGAUCGUUUUAUCGAUUUGCCUGAACUCAUUUUAGUUCAACCCAUCUUAAGGAAGUACUUUCAAGAAUCGAUAUUAAGUCGGCCAAUAACCACCUAAUUAUCGCCCUAGUCAUGCCUCGAUCGUCGCACGUGUGCUUUUCUAGCAUGUGUGAUAAGGUCGCAUCAUGCUUAGUGCUCGAUAAAGUGGAUUGAUUGUGAAGUCAACAUUUGUUGAUCAUCUUCCCUAACGUGUUCCUCUAAUUUUUAUCAUCUUCCUGGAACUUGAAUUCCUCAAAUGACCACUUGUUGGUAAAUCUCCUUCUGUGUGUCUUACCUAAGAUGGUGCAUCUGAUUCUGCUUGGGUAAAAUCGUGUAUUUGCCGCUCGCUCAACAGAAUCAGAUAGUACAGUGUCAUCAUAAAAAGCAUACUGCACACAUGGAACCUUAUGUGUUCUUCUGGCAGACAUUGUCUCUACCAAUGGACAUUUAUAAAUUAGCCUAAGGCGAUACAUGUUAUGUCCACUGGAGAAACGACAUCCGGAGACACUCACCUUUGCUUGGAACUGUCUUAUGAUUAUCGCUGAUAUGGACUGGGUUACAUGCUUCUCUACUCUUAAAAGUAUUUCGCUCCGAAUCUUAGGACGAGAUUCUUUUAAGGGGGAGGGCUGUAACACCCUAGGUGUUUAUAUUCUGCUCAACAAUGAAUAUGGAUUUAAGCACGUAAUAUCAGUUGAUAAACCGGAUGCUAAAUUUUAAUCAUUUUUGUCUAUCACAAUUUUAAUAUCGCAUCUGUUUCUGUCUAUUUAGACUCUUCCUAAGUCUUCGCGAAAUUUAGAACGUAAUUGUUCCAAAAAUUUGUGAGUCUUGUGCCUAAUUAAAAUCUAUCGAGUUUGGUGUCGUUUUCAUUUCGAUAAUCUAAACAGCUAAAAAGGGUUCAUGAAGCUUUUGGAUUAUCGAAUCUUCGUCGCUGGCGAAUUUUGAACUGUUCGAAUCACGAGCGUAAGUGAAUACAAAAAUCAGAAGACUUCUAAUUUUAUGAACAAUUUGGAGCCCGCGCUGUCCGAACAGAACGAUGCGCUAGCGGAUUAAGUGAAUCGUUCCUCUUAGCAUGUGAUCGUUAGCGUUAGAUCAAAUGAUCGAUCACUAGUGAGGAUCGUAAAAAUUAGACGGAACUAAAUAUCAGUCUCUCUGUCUUAAUUUGUUUCAUCUGUCGCGAGUUCGACAUCGUUUUUUUAUUUAUCCGGGCUCUUCCUAAAUUUUCAUGAUGUUCAGAACAUAGUUGUUCCGAAAAUCAGUGCGUCCGGUGGUUAUUUAAAACUCAUCGCUCGUCCGAAUACGAAUUCGGAAGCUUGACCUACUUUUACGGUUUUUAUCCCGGGAAAAUUAAUUUGAACUCGACGACUAAAAUGUUUGGGGCAAAAUAAUCUGAAUCUCGCAGUGUUUGAGAGAAAUCGUGCGCGAGGUUGAUAAUUGUUGGGGACUUGUUCUCAAAUGCUAUGAAUCAAGAACAAGGCAACAUAAAAUGUUAAAUAUCGAAGGCCCUUCGUCCUUCAAAUCAUUAUUUCCCUUCGGACAUAAUGAAUCUAGGACGAAGGUCAUGAAGGAUGUACCUUCAUGAUCAUAAUAAGAAAUGGAAAAACAUUCAAACAAAAUACAGAAAGUAACCUAAUUUCUUUAAACAUUAUUAUUAAUAUAUUUCUAUUUGUAUUACUUGUGUAUACAAAGAUAAAUUAAUGUACCUUCGACUUGAAGGGAAGAAAAUACAGGCGUGGCGUAAAAGUGAGUGCCAAGUCAGCGCGAACAGUACGGGAAUACUGUUCACCUAUUUAUAGGCACAGGUCGCAGCCCAUGCAAGAUUACAUUAAUGCCCUUUACAUUUAUCAAUAACUCUAUAGUAAUUCUUCGAGGUCUAAUCUGGCUUUUUAUCUUUAAGUCGGUUUCCCUUUCCGCCGUUAUGCCGAAGCUCUUCUGCGCAUAGCUUCGUAAUGAUCUUUUCCUUCGUCACAAUCACCUUCCGUCCCACUCAAGCUUCGUCUUGGCCAUAAUCUUAUAUACUCGUAAUCCAAUUCCGAAGAUACCUGCUCACACAUUUCACUUAGAAAACAUUGUUAAAUCAUGUUUUUGAGGACCUUCGAAAGACGAAGGCCCCCAACAAUAAUCAAGGAAUUAUAAUUGAGAUCCGAUUACCACGCAAAUUACCCGUGAACAUGGAAUCAUGUGUUCUGAUCGCAGAUCAAAUUUAUCAGGUUUCGAAUCAAAUCAAACCGUGUCACAAGUACCGUCGACCCAUUUUAUAUAUCGCUAAACUCUGGAUUUAAAAGUAUCUGCGAAAUUCUUUAAAGAAAUAUAGAAAAAUCUGAAAAUAGAAAAAAAAUCCCUGUCGCCGCUUCCUUCUCCCUCUGUUUUCUUUCCACCGCUGCUCUCUUCGGAUAUUUUCACCGCCGCGCUGUGGCCUUAUCCCAUCGCUUGUCUUCAUCUCCCUGUGGCCAGCGCUCGUCUUCCAACCAUCUCUGCUCAGAUUUUCCUACCGCCCAGCCGCUCCUUUCCUUUCCCCCGACCGCGCCCUGCAUCUCCCAUGGGCGAGCGCCCUACCGAGGUCCCUCCAUGGUUGCGCACUCCUCCAGCUCGUGGAGCUCUCUCCUGCUCCUGUUCUUGGCCGAGCGCCCGACCAGGGCUCCCCUGCGCGCCGACUUCCCUGCUCGCGUCGACGCCCUACUUGCUGGCGCGCGCGCUUGCUUCCCUACCAACGUGCCGACGUCGCGCUGAGCUCUCUGCGCCGCGGUUCUCCCUCAACCAGGCCUAGCUAAGCUCGCCGGCUUCUCCUCUACACGCCCUGCUCGCCCUCUGCCGCGCACUCCUCCCUUGCCGCGUAUCUUUGGUGCGCUGCGCUAGCUGCAGCUUGGAGCUUCGCGCGCGUCUUCCUCCCUGAGUCCCUUUCCUGUGCUCACCAUGGCCGUCACGCCUGCUUCCCCUGCUCGGAUUUGGUUCGUGCCCCGGGCUCCCAUGGCGCGCCCGACUCCCGCUCCAGCGCACAGCCGAACUCCCCUACGCAGCGCGUUCCUCCCUGUUCUCUCCCUCAUCCGGCCAUGGAUGCUUAGGAAAAGUAGUAGUCCCAGCUCGGCAACACCAAUAGGCUCCCUGGAACUAGUGCCCUGCUCCCUGUUGCCGCAAGCUCCAGCUCGGAUUCCGCCCAGCUCGCCCCUGCCCAUGUCACGCCGGUUUCUCUGACCCCGGCGUUGUCAUUUCAGUUGACCACACCGGGUGCACCGCGGAAGCGUGGUGGGCACGAGGGUCGGGGACUGGCCGAUUGUCGAUCACCUAUUUGCUUUGGACAGUGCCUCGACGCCCCAUCAUAGCAGCCCGUUGGGGAACUCUAGUGUUUGACGUUAAUUCUCGGUCGUCUCCAACUCUGUCUUGCCGUCGUCGUUCAGUCGCCCCAUCUCGAUGUCGGUCCCUACGUGAUGCCUUUGAAUUGUGAUCGCGCGGACAAAAGAAUCCCCAAGAUAAGAUGUCCAAAGAUUGGAUGGUGUUAUGCGUGAAGUUCGUGUAGCACCUGCUAUGCGCUUGACAAAUUGUUUGAAUCGGAAAAUCAUUACCGAUCUCGCAGAUUCGAGUCAGCUAUUGGAACGGUAAGUUGAUUUGCUAUUCUUAUUGACUGGUCUGAUGAAUGGAUUGGUUGAAUUAGUUGUUCGUGAAGAUUGUUUUAUUCUUAGCACAUGUGCGUUGUCGAGGUAUUAGAUGUAUGCCGUGAU
RNAcentral lists this long non-coding RNA (77695 nucleotides) under Zea mays. RNAcentral's name for it is "long non-coding RNA (ZMAY_LNC000860)". Lineage: Eukaryota; Viridiplantae; Streptophyta; Magnoliopsida; Poales; Poaceae. The record is from RNAcentral.